RNAcentral lists this long non-coding RNA (66299 nucleotides) under Eucalyptus grandis. RNAcentral's name for it is "long non-coding RNA (EGRA_LNC004808)". The record is from RNAcentral. Lineage: Eukaryota; Viridiplantae; Streptophyta; Magnoliopsida; Myrtales; Myrtaceae.
AAGAAUCACAACAAUCUCGCGGCUUAGUCAUUGCAUCCAUGAGGGAGUGGGGAGAGAGUCGAAUUGUGAGCAGGAAACUAAUGCUGAAAGAAUCUAUAACUUGAGCUUCUUCCUGGAGCAACUUAUGAGGUUACUCAUUAUUUUUUCUUGGCUUGCCUCAAAUAUAAAUUUUUUCAUUCUCUAUUAGCUGCAACAUAGAGCGCAUGUUAGUCUGAGGUUAUCUUCUGUCUUCAAAGGCUGGUACCUUAUUAGUCUUGUAUACUACCUUGUCCCAAAAUGGGGAAAUAAAAGAUCCUUACUUCAUCUAACAGCUUAAUUGAACCUUGCAUGGUGAUGCUGCUCUAAUAACACAGGGAGUUCAGCAAUUUUUUAAGCUAAUAAAACUCUCUGUAGAUUCAUUAAUUCCAUGUAAGAAGUCAAAAACACAUGAUACUUUGCAAGAUUGAAUUGUGUGCCUUGUGAGGCCCAUUUUCACUCAAAUGGUGAUCCAACAUGUGGGAGGGCAUAAUUGCCCACUGAAUGUAGACAUCCCGAGAACUUUAAUGCGAUGAAAGCGUCUUCGGCUUGGCCUAUGCCGUGAUGUUCUGAGGAUGUCUAGGCCGGUAAGUGGACUUUUCCCAUCGUGUGCCAUUGUUGAACGAGAUUGGUCAACCUGCUUCUUCAUUGUCCUCGAAAAGGUGGUCUGUAAAAGCCAGGAGACCACACCUAGGUCCAUUCCAUGAGAUAAGUGUACCUAGCUAUUAAUUAAGUGUCUAGUAUAAUAGACUUUCUUAUUAAAUACUUAGAUAAGGUUCUGAUUUAAAGUAAUCGAUAUAGUUGUUAGCCAUGUGUUUAAGGUCUAUCUUAUGGUUAUGUUCAACCAUUUUGUAUUAUGAAUUGAGAAUUUUAAUAGGAAAUACAGGAUGCAUUGUUUUCAAAUCUUUGGUCCAUUGAUUUUGUAGAAUGGCUUUGCCCGGGUAAUUCUAAUUAGAGUAUAGAAGGGCCAGUACUAGAUUAAGGAUAGUUUACUUGGAAUAUAUAUAUAUAUAACGUCUUUUUGUAAAACGUCUUUGGCUGAUUUGCAAUCAAUCCUCAAGAGGAAUUUUUGAUUUAGUAAAUCUCCUUGGAAUUUUGAUAUAGAUAAACUAUAGCAAGUAUUUCUUUUUUGAUUGUCGAAUAAUUUUGUUGAGUGAAAUUCCAAUGUUUUGAAAUGAACUGAACAACUUGUUCUUUGUUGUUAUUGACUUGUUUGAGAAUACCGCCAUAUCCUAAUUCUGAGGCAUCUGUUUCAACUAUUUUGAAAGUGAAAGGGUCAGCAAGGUGUAAUCAUGGUAUAUCUUUUACAUGCAUUUUGAUUUGUUUGACAAUGUCUGUAUGGACAGAGGUCCAGGGUGGAGGAUCCUUUCGUAACCUUUGGUGUAAAGGUUUACAAAGGAUAUUUACAUUUGGAAAGAAAUCUAAAAUAUAAUUGAGACUACCCAAAAACCUUUAUAAUUGAGUUUUGUCUUUGAUCUCAUCAGGGAAUUUAUCGGUAAAAGAGAUUGAUCUUUCAAUGGGGGUUAUAGUAUUUAAAUGAAUGUAAUGACUUAAGAAUCUAAUCUUGGUUUUGAAGAGUGCAAUUUUAGUGGGAGAAACUACAAGACCAUUUUGUAUUAUUAUUUUUAUGAAAGUAGAUAGAUGUUUGAAAUGUUGUUCUAUAUUGGAAGAAAAUACUAGAAUAUCAUCUAUAUAAACUAUGAUAUAUUUUGAAUAAGGAUUGAAAAUCUCAUUCAUAAUUCUUUGGAAUUCUGAAGGGGCAUUUUUUAGGCCGAAUGGCAUAACAUUCCAUUCAUAUUGGCCAAAAGGGACUGUAAAGUUUGUCUUGUAUUUAUCCUUAUCACUGACCUGUAUUUGCCAGAAUCCUGACUUCAUGUCGAAUUUUGAAAAUAUUUUUGAUCUACAAAGUCUGUUUAACAAAUCUUUUUUAUUGGGUAUAGGAUAUCUUAUCCACCUAAGGGCUGUUUUAAGAGGUUUAUAAUUAAUGACUAAUCUGGAAACUCCUCUUUCAAGUUCAGCAUUUUUAUUGACAUAAAAAGCAGAACAACUCCAAGGUGAUUGGCUUUUUCUUAUGAGUUUUUUAUCUAAGAGAUCUUGUAUUUCUGCUUGACAAAAUUUCAAAACUUCUUGAUUCAUUUGUGUUGGGCGAGCUUUGGUAGGUAUUUUGUUUUCAGAAAAGUCAUGUUCAUAAGGUAAAUCAACGAUAUGUUUUUUUCUUUCCCAAAAGGCAUUGUCUAGAGUUGAACAUAUAGUUUUUUCUAUAUGUUUUUGUAUGGAAGCUAUUUUCUCUAUGAUGUUUGGUUUUAUAAGUACACACACGAUGCAGUAGGGACGUGUGGUGUGGCAAGCAAAUCAAUUUCAAAAUUUAAGCGUCAAGUAAGAGGAUUGGCAUUUUAUACAAUCGAUUUAAUUGGUUGGUCACAUCACUUUAGCCGUUAGCGAUUUGACUAUUGAAUAAAAUAAUUUUCUCAAACAAGGAGGUGGCCCCUCGCAAAGUUUUCAAAUGCUAGAAUUCCCAAGCUUGCGAGAGCUUUAGGAAACCUACUCCCUUUGAAGAAAUGAUAUUUAUCAUCACCUAAAGUUGCAAGGACUCUCUAGCAAGUACCGCUGUUGAUAUGCACUUUGUAGUUACUAAAGAUCCAUAUUGUCACUUAUGGGUUUGAUGAAGGAAUUUACCAUGCUAUUGGAUAAUUCCUAAGUGAUAGGAUCAUCGAGAGAUAAACUCUACAAUCAAAUUGCUAACCUCAAAAGAAAGAUACUAACUAGAGAUGUAGUGAUGAUAAUGAGGACUUCAUGGGACUUAUGAUUGUCGGAAAAAUACUUACGAUGUACAAAUAUUAUCAUUUACAAAUAAAGAGGAUAAAUACUAUAUCAAUGGAGAAUUGAAUAAUGAUGACGCUCACAAAUUAGCAAUAAUGAAAGGGAUGUUUGUGAUGCAAAGUUAUACUGCAAAGUUAAUAACCAUAUUUUGAGGAUUUUGGGUGAUUUACACUGGUUCUAGAAUAUUUACCGAGAAAUUUCGUUAUUUAUUAUGACCAUUUGAUGAAAUUUACUUUAUUAAUUUAAGUUUACUAACGACUAACAUUAACACAAUGGCAUAACAAAGAUUAUUUUUUUGGCAAUGAGCAAAGUUUAACAUACUGCUAUAAGGGAUAUGUAUAGAAACACAUUAGUUCCGCAAACCUUUUUGCUUCAUCUAUAAACUGCAUAAAAAAAAAAAAAAUUGAAAUUGCCCAAGUAAAGGAAAACAAUGCUUGGGGAGAUGAAAUAUGAAUACAAUUUGUUUAUAAAUAAGUACUUUAGAAGUCAUAAAAUUUGUUGUGAAAGUAUAAUCAAAUUCUAAGACUUUCAAAAAGUGAAAUGAAGUCUUAAAAUCUAUCCCAUCAAUACAAUUAAGUAUUUUUGUUAGCUCCACCAAAUCUGAGUAAUGAAAAAUAUUGACAUGUCAUUUAUUGAUAUGAUUUGACUACACGUGCUAAAGAUAUUUGAACCAAACAUGAAGCCACGUUCUACUAAAUUGAAGUAUCUUGUGUGCCAAGUCACCCUCUCUCCAUUUUCCAAAUCUAACAUUAGAGAUUGAAGUGAAUGCCAUCUCUUACUUCAACAACAAACAUAAAUGUCCCGAGGUAUCGAGAAACAUAUGCCAACCCCCAGUUUGUUUCGCUAGCUUAAUGAUUGCUUCUUUCAGAAUUGCACACCAGCACUAUUACACUCGCCUCUUCCCAUUUAAUCUAUUCAUUCUCGUUGUCACUAAUGUACUUGUACCUGUAUAAGUACUUGCCCAAGGACUCGUACAAGUCGUCGUCACUAAUGUACUUGUACCUGUACAAGUACUUGUCCAUGGACUCGUACGAGGACUCAUACGGGUACUCCAUUCGCAUGGCUUCCAUUCUUCGCUCCAUAUGGCGUGGGAGAAAUUUGUAGAAGAAUUCUUUGAGCUUCAUUUCAUAUAUUGAAGCUGGAUUCACUAAUUGCUUGUCUUCGAGCACAACUUUCAAAUCAUCAUCCAUUUGCUUGCAUCUUAGCACAUAUCCCAAUUUUUUUAUGGUUCCACCCGAUAUACUAAGUGUGAGGCUAAAUAGUAAGCAAUCCUCGUCAAAUUCAAGAAAAUCAAUAGCUCCCCCCAACACUCCCCAUAGCAUGUUCGGUUUGAGAUAUUGAAUCCAUGUAUGAUUCGAAUUAAAUGAACCGAGAGAUCCCGAUAGCCCAUUCCGUCUUUGGCCGUUAAGAAGGGGCACGAUGUCGAAAAAUAUUUCCUUUUCUCCAUCUUCUAUAGUGAAAACAACACAGAGAGCUAAUCCCCAAGAACUUAUCAUAAAAGUCUCGUGAAACCAUGAAAGAUAUGGUAUUGCCUUCAACAAUGAUGAACUCCUCUGGCAUAUCUCCUCUGGGAAGAAUAUCCAUGUAGUGAGGAGCAAUUUCAGCAUAGCGCCACUUCUGUUAUACCGAUAAAUUGUUAGACGUACUAAAGUUGAUAAUUAGUUAAAAUAGAAGAGUUUGAUUUGAGAAUUUUUCUAGUAAUUUAACCAAAGCUAGAAUUUUCGUAAUAAUUAAACAUAUCGAUCUUUCCUUGCCUUAUAUUUAAUACUCAGGAAAUCAAUCACUUCACUUGCGAGUAUUGUCGUAGCACAUGGUGCAGAAUCACUCUACGUUAGAUUUACUUAUUUGUAUAGAAUUUUCAGUUUUUGCGUUAUACAAACACAGUGCGCCUGACGUACACUCCAACAAGAAAUCAACACAUGCACUUAUGAAUUCGCACGUAUCCCCAAGGGCCGGAGAGAGAGAGAGAGAGAUAGAGAGAGAGAGAGAGAGAGAGAGAGAGAGAGAGAGAGAGACCUCAACUGAAAAGUCAACCAUGAUAUCAGCGGGCGAGGAGUCAUCUAUACCGUCGCCUUCUUCUGAGCUUGUUUGGUAGUUGUCUUCAUGGUUUAUCCCCCGCUAUUACAUAUAGGUGCAAAAUCACAAUAUAUUAGCUUGUUUUGUUUACUAGCAUCUGCAGUUUUGCAUUAUAAAAACACAAAGCACCCAUAUCAAUCACACACACACCCCAAUCGCGGAGAGGGAGAGAGAGGGAGAGACCUCAACUGAAAAGUCAGCCAUCAUAUCGGCGCGUGAGGAGUUAUCCAUAUCGAUGUCUUUUCUUUGUUUUUUCUGGGGUCGAAUAUCGUCGUCUUCUUCUGAGUUUGUUUGAUAAUUAUCUUCAUGGCCUACACGCCACUGUUAUUUAUAGGUGCAAAAUCACAAUAUAUUAGCUUGUUUUGUUUACAAGCAUUUGCAGUUUUGCAUUAUAAAAACACAAAGCACCCAUAUCAAUCACACACACACACCACAAUCGCAGAGGGGGGGAAGGGAGGGAGGGAGAGACCUUUUCCAGAUGUGAGAGAUCGGCCGAAAUUUCUUCCUCACUAGUCGUUUCUUCAUCGUGAAGCGGAAUAUGAUAAAUCAAACUUGGAUCUAACAACUUGUAAUCUUGAUUCAAAGCCUCCGAAUCAUCCUCUAGCGGCUUGCAUAUUAAUCGAAAUCCACACCUUUUUACAAUUGCACCAUCCCAUGCUUUAAUGCCUAACUGGAAAGAACUUGAGUCAUUUGGACCAAAAGGGUCAACUCCCCAUAGUCGCUCCAUUGCAUGCAACUGGAUUAACACAUGAUCCGAAUGCAUUGUGGGGAAACUUAUUCGCUCGAAGUACGUAUCAUUCCGUCUGCCAUUAAUGUAUGGAAUGAGCUUAAAGUCCUUUCGGGUCCCAUCCUCUACUUCUUCCUUUACUCGAAAUACAACAGAGAUAGCUAAUCUUAGGAACUUCUCAUACAAAUCCUUCGAAGCUGUGAAAGAUAUGUAACCCUCAUUAUUCAGGAGUAACCAUUGUGGCAUCUCUCCUCCAGGUAGAAUAGUUUCCAAAGAGUAUGGGUAACCCGUUUCCAUAAACUGCUGUCGUAAAAGUAAAUUGUUAAGAUAUUAUUUUGAAUUUAACACUCGAAAAAGAGGAGUUUCAAUGAGUCAAAUUUAGCUACAAUUAGCAAUAUAUGUACACGACUUCGUAUUAAUCAGAGAGGGAGGGAGGGAGAGUCUAACCUUAUUGCGGAACAUAUCACAAAAUAAUCGGUUAACGGACAAUAUGUCGGAGGGAAUUUUGCUUAGAGAUUCAUAGCGUUGGGUGCGGGUGANNNNNNNNNNNNNNNNNNNNNNNNNNNNNNNNNNNNNNNNNNNNNNNNNNNNNNNNNNNNNNNNNNNNNNNNNNNNNNNNNNNNNNNNNNNNNNNNNNNNNNNNNNNNNNNNNNNNNNNNNNNNNNNNNNNNNNNNNNNNNNNNNNNNNNNNNNNNNNNNNNNNNNNNNNNNNNNNNNNNNNNNNNNNNNNNNNNNNNNNNNNNNNNNNNNNNNNNNNNNNNNNNNNNNNNNNNNNNNNNNNNNNNNNNNNNNNNNNNNNNNNNNNNNNNNNNNNNNNNNNNNNNNNNNNNNNNNNNNNNNNNNNNNNNNNNNNNNNNNNNNNNNNNNNNNNNNNNNNNNNNNNNNNNNNNNNNNNNNNNNNNNNNNNNNNNNNNNNNNNNNNNNNNNNNNNNNNNNNNNNNNNNNNNNNNNNNNNNNNNNNNNNNNNNNNNNNNNNNNNNNNNNNNNNNNNNNNNNNNNNNNNNNNNNNNNNNNNNNNNNNNNNNNNNNNNNNNNNNNNNNNNNNNNNNNNNNNNNNNNNNNNNNNNNNNNNNNNNNNNNNNNNNNNNNNNNNNNNNNNNNNNNNNNNNNNNNNNNNNNNNNNNNNNNNNNNNNNNNNNNNNNNNNNNNNNNNNNNNNNNNNNNNNNNNNNNNNNNNNNNNNNNNNNNNNNNNNNNNNNNNNNNNNNNNNNNNNNNNNNNNNNNNNNNNNNNNNNNNNNNNNNNNNNNNNNNNNNNNNNNNNNNNNNNNNNNNNNNNNNNNNNNNNNNNNNNNNNNNNNNNNNNNNNNNNNNNNNNNNNNNNNNNNNNNNNNNNNNNNNNNNNNNNNNNNNNNNNNNNNNNNNNNNNNNNNNNNNNNNNNNNNNNNNNNNNNNNNNNNNNNNNNNNNNNNNNNNNNNNNNNNNNNNNNNNNNNNNNNNNNNNNNNNNNNNNNNNNNNNNNNNNNNNNNNNNNNNNNNNNNNNNNNNNNNNNNNNNNNNNNNNNNNNNNNNNNNNNNNNNNNNNNNNNNNNNNNNNNNNNNNNNNNNNNNNNNNNNNNNNNNNNNNNNNNNNNNNNNNNNNNNNNNNNNNNNNNNNNNNNNNNNNNNNNNNNNNNNNNNNNNNNNNNNNNNNNNNNNNNNNNNNNNNNNNNNNNNNNNNNNNNNNNNNNNNNNNNNNNNNNNNNNNNNNNNNNNNNNNNNNNNNNNNNNNNNNNNNNNNNNNNNNNNNNNNNNNNNNNNNNNNNNNNNNNNNNNNNNNNNNNNNNNNNNNNNNNNNNNNNNNNNNNNNNNNNNNNNNNNNNNNNNNNNNNNNNNNNNNNNNNNNNNNNNNNNNNNNNNNNNNNNNNNNNNNNNNNNNNNNNNNNNNNNNNNNNNNNNNNNNNNNNNNNNNNNNNNNNNNNNNNNNNNNNNNNNNNNNNNNNNNNNNNNNNNNNNNNNNNNNNNNNNNNNNNNNNNNNNNNNNNNNNNNNNNNNNNNNNNNNNNNNNNNNNNNNNNNNNNNNNNNNNNNNNNAAAGAUUGAGAGAUUCAAGAUUCUUGGGUUGGAGUAUAUCGGGGAGAUGAUGAAGGUUAGAGCAACCUUCUAGAUUCAACAACCUCAACUUGGCAUGAUAUGCAACUGAUUCGUGAGCACGCUCCAAAUUUUUGCACCCAUUGAGAUCCAAUUCCUCGAGAUUUGGAAAAAAAUCGAGGUUCGGCAUACAAAACAUGGCCAGACAUUCACGGAAGUAAAGGAACUUCAAAUUUUUAAAGUCCUGCAAGAAAUAUCCACGUGGAAAGAAAAUGAAGAUAAAAAUAUUUAAUGAAAAACACUUGAUCAUCAUUCAAGACCCGUGUGAUCAGAAAUUAGUUGAUCAUAUGGUGUAUACAGAGCACUCCCACUCCCUUUUUAAAUAUGAGUUUAUUAAGUGAUCCUUGGCCAAAUGUGAAGAUUAAAAAAAGAAUAAUACUCGUAAUUUCACCACACACACACUAAGCUCUAUCAAGCGACACACAAGAGAAAUCAUUCCAAUGCUAAGUAGCAUGGCCACUUCCACUAUGUAUAUGUUUAGAAUCAAUACAUGUAAUUCAAAGAGAGAGUGACCUCAAGUGGGAGCACAUGAGCGAGCCAUGGUCAAAUCCUUUGCCAGCUAAUUCAUGACAUGAAUUUAAGCUAACAUAGGUGGCACUUGAUGGACCUACAAUCUUUUGCAGAGAUAUGCAAACCUGCCAUAAUUGCGGUGGAAGCUUGGGAAUCUCUCGUGUCAUCACUUAUUAGGUCAUGGUGCUUGGUUGAUCGAUUUUUGAGAAUCACACAUUUUGUUGAAUGUAGUAGACCCUUGAUCCGUUAUAUGUUGCUGAAUUUUAUAUUAGUGAAAUUGUGCACCCACAUGGUAUUCCAAAGACAACUCCUUACGUUGUGUAGUGAAUGCAUCUUUUAAGUCCUUUGGAUCUUACACCAUUAUCCACCACUAAUAUGGAGAAAGAGCUAAGACAAUAAAUAAGUUACGUGAGGAAGUGAGGAAGAGAAGUCCGAAGCAAAAUGUCAAAUAUCCCAGUCAAGCCAGAAAAGAAAAAAGAAAAAGAAAGAAAGAAAAGCCUGCUGUUUUUAAAGAAGUUGAUCUUGUCUGGAUUCAUUUGAGAAGAGCGUUUUCCACCUAGUCGUGGUGCUACGGACGGUUCUUUUCUAGUUUUGGAACACAUUGAUAAUAAUACCUGCAAAAGUGAGCUUUGUGGAGGGAAUGGUGUUUCCACUAGUUUCAAUGUUGCUGAUCUAUUACUAUGAAGUUAGCUUCGAGGAGUCUUUUCAAGAUUUUAAGAUUCUCUCUUGUGAAUAGAAUAAUAGGGAUAAAAUAUAUUUCUUGAUCAGUGAGCCUGUUUUAUACUUUUUAGGAUUGUUUUAGUCUCGAUUCAAUGUGAUAAUAUUGUACCUUGUUUGAAUUUUGUAUUUCGGGUUCAUUUUUCUUUACUUGGAGAUUACUCAAAGGUACAGUAGGCUCCUACUUAUAAGUGUCCUCUCGGUGUCUCAUGGUAAACACAAUUAAUCUAUUAAAUGAAGUUUCAUUCUAUCUUUUCUUUGUCUUUCUCUCUGUCCUUUUAGGGGAUUCAUGAGUGAACGAGAGAGUGCUGCAUCCUUGGACUGGCCUGCAAAGGCGGUGAUUUGGCCAAGGGAGACCUAGUGUAUGUUGUCUCUUUCCUAUCCUCCAUAGGUGGGGUUUUUCCACUUCAUUUAGAUUGAAAAACCCCUUCUAUUUAUUUGUUCGCUCAACACAUUCCGGCGUCAAUGUGGCCGACAAGCAUGACAGCAAAAUUGAAAGUCCAUGAAGUUUGUCUCUUGUGAGGCAUAGGAAGAGAAAACUAAAAGAGUAUGCACAAGAUUUGGAAAAAAAUUGAUACUGAAAAAUUGAGCAAAACCACUAAAUUAGAAAUAUUUAAUGGAAAGAAAUUGUUGGUAAACACACAAUACACAAACAUAGAAUGUAUGUAGGAUAUUUCUAGAUUAAAAUUUGCAAUAAGAAAUUUGUUAUGGGAUAGAAAAGAUUAAAAUUUAGAUUGUGAAACAUGUGAGAGUUAAAAUAGACCAAUAGUUUAUGCACCUCUCAAUAAAUACAAUAUUUGUAAAAUAAGUAAUCGAGACAUUUUGGGGAAAGAAUUAAAUUGAAAUCCUGCAGAAGGUCACCUUUACUUUGUACAGUAGUAUUUAUAUGAAUAUAAAUAUAACACAUAUAUACAUAACUUAAGAUUCGAUUUAAGUUAAAAUAUAUUUAAUUAGCAAAGCGAGCCCCUUACUUCUCUUUAGAAAGCCUUAUUAGUCAUGUGUGAAAGCCAUUACUCGCUACCAGCAUCCUAGAUGUGGUGCGCUAGCUAGAUGUGGUGCGCUAGCGCGUCUAUAAACUAAGACUCUUCCAUGGAAUUGUACUCCACAAGCUUUUAUUUAAAAUAGCGGGAGAAGGAAUGGCUGGUCAAUCUAUCUCCCCUGAGAGUUGCUUUUCAUCCUGUGAUUUCUCACUUAGGAAUAAAUGGAGUAAGGGCGCAACCGAAUGGCCCGAUUGAAAGGAAAGGAGGGGAACGUGUUACAUACUUGGAAGGAGACGGAGAAACUCUCAGUUAUAUUUGAAAAUGAAUAUUUUAUCCAUAAAAAUGAAGAUAACUUUCUUGGAGUUCUGCUUAUUCCUCCUCCUAAAAUUAAAGAAAUACUUGCUAGAAAUCUAUGGUUAGGUCGGCACAAUAAAAAGAGACGGGACUUUUGGGGCUGACUUACAGUAAAGACUCAACUCCUUUAAAGAUCCUUUACUACACGAUUUCUACAUAUCUCCUUUCAUUAUCGACUGCAUUCUAUUAUAGAAACAACAACGGGAGGUUCAAUCAAAAGUACUUAGCGUGCAUUCGCUUCAAUGUUAAAGCAAAUAAGCAAGAAAAAUCUCAUUCUAUUUUCAUAUGUAAUUUCAAAAAGAAUCUAGUAAACUCGUCUCUUAUAUAAAAUAUAUAAUCUUUGAUAGUAUUUUUAGUAUCUAUCAUUUCAAAGGCACACAAAUUGAAUCCUCAGGCAGUUCAUGUUUAUUAAAAUACUAAGCACGUUCACCAUUCAAUUGUUAAAUUAUGUCACCAAUAAGUUCUUGUUCCAAUUUUCGGUAUUAAAGUUACUGACCGUAUAAACCCUUUUUUUUUUUUAUAAUUUCGGUACUUCUAACAUUUGAAAAUGAGAUAGAAUUUUUUUAGCAAGUAUCUUUUGUUCGAAUCGACAAUAAAAUUCGCAUAGAAAAGUGUUUAAUACUCCCCUAAAACGGGAAGAAUUUAAUCAAAUAUAAACAAUUUAACAGAUGCAGAUAUUUCUUAAGCAUAAUUAACAAGCAUCAUCAAAGUUAGUAAUUGUUGCAUCCAAAGUUUUCUAUAAGACAUGCAUAUAUAUAAUCAUAAUCAUAUGCAUACGGAUAUAGAUAUGUAAGAGAUAAGCAAAUAAGGACAAUUCAUUUGAAUGCGCACCUUAAAUUGGUCUACCAUGACUUCAAUGUUGCUUUUGCGCAGAUCAAGUCCAACUAACUUCUUUGGGCCAGAGGGAAAUUCGAGAACCCCAAAAGGACAUUCAGGCCAUUCAAGCCAUCUCAAUUUAUUAGGAAGAUAGAUACGAUCUUGAAAAGAGAUAUGCACAUUAAUCAUGAUGAGCAACCUCAAGCUUCUCAUGUUUGUGGAAGCAUUGGGACUUAUAAAUAUUGCUUCUGCAUCGGGUAAAAUCAAAACUAUGGCUUUUACUGCAUUUGUUCCCUACAUUUAUAGAACUUGCAUUGCAAUUAGUAUAUGAAGUCAGAGAAGAAGAGAGUAAAAUCAGUGUUUAAACCACCAAAACUUACCAUAUCCCCUGAUAGAACAUCACAGACAUCUUCACGGAGCCAUAACCUGCUGCGUCCCCUAGGAUCAUCGCAACAUUCUUGUUUAACAAUAUCCAUGCCCAUCAACUGAAUCAAGUCAUGCAUCUGUAUUGUCGCCCCAUAUUUAGUUAUUAAGGACUUCUCAACAAGAACUUCUACUCCAAUCAUUGUGUCAAAGUCGCAACUGUCAAGGACUUUUAUAAUAUACUCCAUAGAUCGCCCCUUGAAGAAACAUGCAAUAUCAAGGAAUAUUUCCUUUGCAUAGUCCUCUAGUCCAUCGAAACUUAACUUGAGAACAUCAUUGAUGUCUUUGUCAGGAUUUUUGGCAAGUUUACUCAAUGCGCUUUCCCACUGCUGUUCUGUUCUACCACAUAGGAAAGAGCCCAAUACCUCAAGUGCUAAAGGAAGUCCAUUAGCAUAUUGCAAAGCACUAUCCACAAGAUCCCUCCUCAUCACUAUUUCCUCACUUCCAAAAAGAACAUGUUUAUUGAAAAGUUCAAGAGCUUCCAAAUCAUCUAGAGUUUUAACUUCAAAGAUAUGAUCUUCAUCUAUCCUAUGGAAAGUUAAUAGAUGUUUAUCUCUCGUAGUAAUGAUGAUUCUGCUUCCUUUACCAAACCAUUCACGCCCUCCAGCUAAAGCAUUUAAUUGUUUUACGUUAUCAACAUCGUCGAGAACAAGGAGGACUUUUUUGUGGCAAAGUCUACGUCGCAUCAAAUUAAUACCUCCAUCAACACUAAACACUGUCAAUUCUUUUCCCACUAAUAUCUCGGACAACAAUUUUUCCUGCAAAUGAACAAAAUCCUUGGAAUCUUUUGAAGUUUCACGAACGUUUGCCAAAAAACAUGAAGCCUCAAAUCCCCUGAAUAUAUCAUUAUAAAGGGCUUUGGCUAAUGUUGUUUUUCCUAUGCCUCCUUGUCCCCAUAAUCCUAUCAUGACAACAUCAUCAUGAGACUCAAGAUUUAACAUAGAUUCCAGCUUUACCACUUGUCGAUGUAUUCCAACUGGAUGCUUGGCAACAUGUAACGGUUUUCGGUCCAGCAGCUUAGAGAUCUCCCGCACAAUUCUGUUGAUAAGAUCUGCUUCAUCUCUGACAAAAUCCGGAAAGGUACUAGAUAUAUCAAUUUCCAAAGAUAAUUAACUUUCAUGGAAAAAGAAGAAGAGAUUCAGCAUAUAAAAAAGAAAAAAACAAAGCAGUGUCACAUCAAUCACUACUUAGUACUUACUUAUCCUUUAAAUCCCACCCAGACAAGUUACCCGCAUCAAAGAGAGCCUUCUCCCAUCUCUUCACUUUCUCUGAAUCUCUCCCAAACUUGUUCUCAUGCUUAACCAUAGCUUCUCGGUAGCUCCCUCUUGGCGUUCUCACUUCUCUAGGAUCCACUUUGUAAAACACCGAAAAUACCGUGAGUCCUCUUUGCUCCUUGCACUCCAUGAUUUUGUCCACCUCUUCCAAACACCAUGGCGAGGAUGCAUAGCCCUCAGAGAAAAUGAUGAUCGCGAUGCGCGAGUCCUCAAUCGCCUUAAUAAGCGCUGGUGUUAUUUGUUCGCCUUUCUGAAGCUCCUCGCUAUCGACGUAAGUGUAGAUUCCUUUCUGGUCAAGAGCCGUAUAGAGAUGACCAAGGAAGUUGUUUCGAACGUCAGUACCUCUGAAACUCAGGAAGACGUCAUAAUUCCCUUUCAGAUCUGAAGAAGCAGCCAUUAGAGGAGAUGAAGUUUGAUGUGCUUCCUCAGAAUGCUUAGUGUCUGGUCGGGUUGCAGCUCUAUCUCUCAUAUGGAUAUCGCUUUGUACUAAUAAAGAAAUAGAAACGAAAACCAGAUCAUUUCUCAUGCUCCAAGUCGAUAACCAUAUACUCCACCAACUAAUUUAACAGAAAGCAGCAUUUUGCAUAAGGUGCACGGAACCAUCCUAUAUAGGUGCUUCUUGACUUGACUUGACUUGCCUUUUCCAUUAAUAAAAGAAAUAGAAAAGAAAACUAGCAACACUCCCAUGCUCCUGGUGCUAAAUUGCUAUUAUACAUGAGUCAAUCGCAAAAAACCGCUUGUUGGAAUAUUAUUUAUAAUGAACAAUCUGACUUUUUUCUUUCAAAAGGGAUUCUACAAAAGCAAAUCCCAAAAUAAAUUUCCCUCACUUUUCAUACUAAAAUUUUCCAUACCAUGUCCUGCAUUGAACAGAACAAAUUCGAAUCUGUUCAGGCAUUUCUUCAAACACGUAGUGGGCAGCGAGUUGGAGAGCGAAUAUGGAUCUAUUCGGAGCUCGAGCUCACACUUAAACUCAAGAGAAAUCAGCGAGCAACGUUCAAACUUAAGAAAAACCGACUCAUUCAGAUCCGACGCGAGUGAGGACUAAAGAAAUCGAGCUUGCUUUGCUUUGCUCUUUUAAAAUCAAGCAGGACGAGGCAAAAAAAAAAGAAGGAACGAGAACUCAAUCGUGGGGGCCCUACCUGGCUUGGAUUCCGUGGGCAUCGUCGGCGGCGAAGGUUGAGAAUAGCGAUUCCAAACUCGUGUCAGGCGUCAGUCGACUCCACCGAGGUCAGGGACGGCGACGACGAAUGGCAGCGGGCGGAGGAUGCUCUGGAGGUGGCGGACGACGUAGAUCGGCUGUGGCUCUGAGGUUUUGUGUGGGGCUUCAAUGGCAACCGUUCACGGAGUAGAGAAAGACCAAGAUGCUUCUUUUUUUUCCCCCCUUUUUCGUGAGAAGUAAAGAAGUAGGUGACAGUGAAGGAGUGAGGUAGGAAUCCGGGAAUGUGAUGCGAGAGCAGUCGCCGGCGGGAGGUAGGUACUCGGACAGAGAUGGUGGAGGUGGCUGGUCAGGUGAGUUCAGGAGAAAGGGUGAGGAAUGCUUUUUUCUUACUUUUCCAGAAAAUGCUCCCUGAAGAUGGUGGUCUCCUCCUCCUCCCUUUUCGAGAACGCCCUGCUUUUUUUUCCUUUUGAUGGGAAAUUGUGUCUUUUAAGAGAGAGCGUGAGAGAUCCCUAGAAAGAACUUCCCUUUCAGAUUCGAAGAAUCGGCUACUAGCGGAGAUGAAUGUCGAUGUGCUUCCGCAGAAUGCUUACCGUCUGGUUGGGUCACAGCUUUAUCUCUCCUGUGGAUAUCACUGUGUUCUUUUUGACCCUGACUUUCUCGAAUCACGCGACAGUGCUAAUCAAAGAAAGUCAUAGAAAAGAAAGUAAAGGUGAAUUAUUGCACGCGUAAUUUCCUCGGAAGGUGCGUAAUAUUUACGCGUAUCCUUUCUUUAUUUUCUUCCUCUGUUGGCUUGACUUGCUUUUUCUACUAAUAAAGAAAUAGAAACAAAAACCAACGAAUCAUUUCUAAGGCAUCCAGGAUGUUUUACCUGGCGGCCUCUUCGUGGGAAUCUGGCCUGGGGAAAAUUUCCCUAUUGGGUUAAUAGUAAAUCCCAGCGGUUUAUCAUUACCUCAUUUUAUGUUUGAAAUUGAGUUCGAUAAACGUAAUAGUUUAAGAUCUUGCUAAGAACUUAUCCACCAAGUAAUUUAAUAAAAAACAACAUUUUGCAUAAGGGGCAUGGAACCAUCCUGUAUAGUGCUUCUUGACUUGUCUUGCCUUUUUCAUAAAUUAAAGAAGUAAAGAAAGCUAACUAUACUCCCAUGCCCUCGGGUUUAAUCUACAUGAGUCAAUCACAAAAAUAUCGCCUCUUGGAAUAUUAUUUAUAAUGAACAACCUAACUUCAAAUUUCAAAAUAAAUUUCCCUCACUUCUCGUACUAAAUUUUUCCAUAUUAUAUCUUGCCUAAAGAUUAUUGAGUCAUCACCCCCUCACCCUAAUCACUUUGAUCUCACUCCUUAAUUUUUUUUUCAACAUUUUAUAUUUUUAAUGUCACAUUUAGAAUUUCUUAGCUAACCGAGGCCUACAAGGGGCAGCCUCUAGUGAUGGUCAAGCAAGGUUCCCUUCGCCAAACAAAUAUCGUUGAUGUCCACCAUGGGAUUUUCAAACUCGAUUACAUGCAUGCAAAUUGCUUUCAGUCAUCAUUUUUUUUUUUUGCUUCUUUCUUUUUUCUCGAUUUCUUUUAGCUUGAGAAAUUCCUCAACUUACAAUUAUUAUUCGAUUUUAUGAGCUUAAUGACUUGUUUGUACUCUCGUCUGUCAUCUUUUUUGCUUCUCCCAUUGUCUUAUGAAAUGGAUUUAACUUUGAUCCCCCCUAAUUAACUCCCCCAGGAAGAAAAGCCUUGAGACUUCGAGAAUAGAAGUCCACUUAGAAGUCCACUGGCGCCACGCAAUUGCCGCUGGGAAUCACACAGAGAAAAGGUUGAAAGUUAAAGACCCUUUUCUCUUUCAUGCACGCAAGAAAUGUCAGACGAGAAAAAACGUGAGCGGCCGUAGUCAAAGCCAAGAAGGCGAAGGAGGUUGUCGUUUUCGUGGGGUGUUAUUGCGUGGGGGUUGGUCGGUGGUAGCUUCAAUCGGCAUGUUAAAGACGACUGGAGAGAGACUGGUCAAAUCCCCGGUCAGAACUUUCAUUUUCUUUUCUCUUCUUGAAAGGAGCCCAUCACGGAUUAAUAUUACAUACGCCUUUAUUACACUGCUUGUUAAUGCGAUAGGCGAGAGAGCGAUAGAAGUAAAUGUUUGUCGAGCGACUUCUUACAGCCAUCUUUCAUCAUUCUCAUCUCUCUUUUCAUCAUCUCUCUCGUGGGAUGGUGAACAUAUAGAUUUGUGCGCUCUUCCUAGUUCCCACACAUCUCCUGUCUUCUCGACCAGUCUAGUGCAUACAUCACUUCUCAACACAUCUCUUCUUGACCCCUAUGUAGCUGGUGCCCGCCUCUCCCAAGGUUUGAAGCUUUCUGGAUGACGUGGAAGAUUGGAAUAGAAAUGGAUAUAGACUAACAAUCACAUGAGUAUUGCAAUUUCUUUCUGAAAAUCAUUUCUUUUUUUAAUCUUUUUAUCGUCUUCAGAGGAAUGAACACCAACAGUUUUAAGAUAUGCUAAAGGCAGCCCGAAAUGAUCUCGACGAGAUGAUAGUUUUAAUUAAGUUGCAUGGGGUUUUGGUUGCCGAAUACAUUAGAUGAAGAAGAGAUAUUCUCAUUGUUAAUGCUGACAAGCUUUAAUGAUAGCGGGAACCUCGACCGCGAUGAAAUCGGCAACGUUGGCUGCCAGAAGGGGCUGGACUCCUCGCUCGUGGAGGCCAACUAAGCUUCUGCUUCCCAGCCUACUCAUAUUUCUUUUGGUCAUAUCGGCCUAGUUAGGCAAAGGCAUAUUUAUCUUUUAAGAAAAGAGAUCAGUCUAUGUUAGUUUCUAUUCCAAUCCUUCAACGCCAUGCGGAAGGCUUUGAACCUUUGGCAGAGUUGGGCAGCCCGCUCCAUUGAUGGAUGAGAAGAGAUGUGUUGAGAAAAGAAGUAUGCACCAAUGUGUCAAGACCUUGUUUAUCCAGUUAAAAAGCUAUCAAUCUACGCAGUUUGCUAAAUCCGAAUUACCUGAUCAGACGUUUCUUCACUCACAUUUCAUUUUAAAUUGUAAUAUUUUUUUUCCCAUCUAGUAUUCGUUACUAAGGCAAUUUUCUUUUUCUUUCGGGAGAGGGGAGGGGGGUGGAGCUCCUUUUCUGCGUGAACAAGUUCUGCAAGAACAAGACUCAGUUGUUCAUCAAAUUUACGAAAUUAUCGCACAAGUUAUGCUCUUCAGUUAAGUAUACCGCCAUUAUUCCAUUAUUUCUGUUUACUGGGCCAAGAUCUUUACGAAUCGAAGCGAGGGAUGAACAAAUUGCUCACCCUUCUGGGGAAGGUUUUCUCUCAGUUUCCUACUUUGGCUUCUCUUGGCCUUCUAUAGCUUCUCCUUUAACUGUCUUCAAUGCCGCAUAUGAAAAUCUCAGCCUCAGCCUCAGCCUCAGCCUCAGUGGCUCUAAUAAGAUUCACUCCUUUAUGUUUGGAUUCUGAUAGAACAUAUUCUGUGAAUGCAGGCACCCACCAUCGCAGCUGCUGCAAACUUGAGAAUGGCAAGAAGGUCUCCAGUUCUCCCAUCUACCAGAUGGCAUCUAGUAAUCUUUCUCAUGCAGAGAAAUUUUCUACACUUGCUGGAUCCGUUGCAAGUGUUUUCCAUGUCUUAUGCUUUUGUCUAAUUAAUGUUUCUUAUCGGAGGUGAAGAUAGAAGAAGGGAAAAUUAUUGAUCGGAGGGACGAACCCCAACCCUCGGUUGGUAGGGGUGCUAGACAUCCUCUUCAUAUUGCAUGCUGAACAUGAAAUGAAUUGCUCAACGGUGCUGCUAGGCAUCUUGCAUUGAGGAAUUCCGCUUUCAAUGCCGUAGGUGACAAGUCCUACAAGCUAAGCGCCGACGCAUUUGCUGACGUAACCAACGACGAGUUUAAGGACCGCUAGGACUGGUAGAAAUGCUUUGUUCAGGUACGAGAAUGCAAAUGCGGUGCCCGCGGCCCUGGAAUGGAGGAAGAAAGGAGCUGUCAUGGGCAUCAAGGACCGAGAAAGUCGUUGUAAGGAAAAUAAAAUUGAUGGUUUAAUCCUACGGAUAUUCACGUUUACGUGUGUAAUCAAUGCAUAUUGCUUUUAUGUUCUAGGUCCAACACACAUGAUCGAAUGAUCGUAGCUACGUGUAGUUAGUACAUUCCGAAUUUUCCAAUAGCAUUCAUACUCUGUUUAUUUCGCGAAAUAUAGAAAAGUAUUUUAAAAAAAAUUAUCUCUUGAAAUAAUGAGUUAAUGGAAAUUCAUCAUGCACAAUAAUUAAUGUCUAAAUAUUUUCAUGAACGGUAAAAAUUUUAUUUCCUAUUUAUUUAUAUAAGUGUUAUAAACGAUCAUUUUUAAUAUAUCAUUUAUUUCCCCUAAAAAAAUGAGUCUCGGAUUAGUUGACUUUUAUGGCAUGUGUGAUUAUGCUGCCUCUCAAUUAAUCAAAUAGGAACCUGUUGGCCUUUCUCAACCGUGGCAGCCACCGAGGGCAUCCGCCAGCUACAAAGAGGGCAAGCUAACCUCCCUAUCGGAGCAAGAACUCGUAGAUUACGAUGUUAACGGCGAGGACCAAGGUUGCGAAGGUGGUCUCACGCGAUAUGGUUUUUAAUUUAUCAUAAACAGUGGAGGCCUCACUAUCGAGGCUAAUUAUUCCUACGACGGGAUAGACGGAACUUGCAAGACCGCAAAAGAAGCCUCCCACAUGGCUGAAAACCGCGGGGCACAACCCCAUGCCUGCCAACAACGAGGCCACGCUGUUGAAGCCCGUGGCAAAUCAUCCGGUGUUGGUUUCCAUUGACGUCGGAGGGAUAGUAAGUAAAAUCUGUCAAGGCCCAAGCUGGUGAUGUGUUUUAUGGGUCAAGCCAUGUUGUGUUAUUCGGGUCGAGGCCCAUACCUCUGUUUUGUGUUUUUGUAGCCCGAGGUCACCGUCUUUUGUGGUUCAAUUCAAAGAAAAAGACUAGGGUUGGAGGGGAUUUUGGAGAUUUAAGUUGAGUUACCUCGAAACAAAAGAAUACCUAAAUUAAAAGGGAACUGACCUGAUAUUGAACUCAAGCGUGAAAGGAACGAAAAUGCCAUUAAGAAUCUUAAAAGAAAGUAGGCCAAGCAACUUGACAAGCAAAUGUCUUUCAGCCUGGGCUGCACAAGUUGAUGGUUUUCCUUCGGUUCAACUUCACGACCAAUCUACACGUCUAUGACAAUCUACAGAGAUUAGUGUCUUAUGACCUAAAAGACCUUUUCUUCAACAGGGGUUUAGUGCAAUCAGCCUGUGAUUUAGUCCAAUGUGGCUGGGACCCGUAUGAGGCAAAUACUAUACAAAUUGUUUAACAUGAGUAAAACUGGCCCCGUACUGCAAACUUUGGCAUCAUCAUAAGGGAAUUCGAGAAUACUCAAUUCAUUUAAACAAAGAAUAAACCUCGACUUACCAAUUAUCUCAGAUUUUAGAUAAAUAAAUAUAAUGUUUAUUAAUAAUUGUCGUUUUGUGCUAAUUCUCGUAGAGGGACUACAAGAGCCAUCUUUGGCAGUCUUGAAACAACCAUCCACCUAAUUUAAGCCCGGUAUGCUGCGGCUUACCCUAUAUGAAGGGGAAGAAGGGAUGCGUCCUCUGAGAAUUUUUGCCGCCGACAUUUUCUCUCGAUGAACUUGUGCCAUGUCAAUAGCAUGAUAAGGUAGCCUGCAUUUCACAGCGAUUUUUACUUGGUUUCAAAUGAUGCAAGCAUGCAACGACUCGAAAGUUCAACUAGAAAUGAAGGCAAAAGAUGAACGGAAAAGGAAGGCAUGGUGAGUAAAAUCUACUGGUCAGCAGACCUCAUAGUUGCUCCCUCAAUUAAGUUGUGAUCAAUUCGACAGCAAGAGUUGCAAUCUGACACUGGCAUAGUUUUUGGUGCCAUAGAACUCAGGGCCGCGGGAGUCAUGGUUCCGACGCCUUCUAGGAGCGUGAGCUUAUAAUUUUCCUUUCAUAGUGUUUGACUAUUGGUGACUCUAGCCAUCUGACCAUCUUGCUGUACAAGCUGAUCAUCUUGAUCCAGAUCUGUUUGACUUGGACCAUCUUCCUAUGUAAGUGUAUUCUCUUCCUCUGAGUCUGUUUGAUCAUCUUCCUUUGAGUUUGUGCUAGUUCAAGACAAUCCUGAUAAACCAAAUUUAACACCAGUGACUGAUUGUCAUGAAGCAAAGACCCUUGGAUCAUUCUCUUGUUGCUUGCAUACUAGUCCAAACCCGCAGUUUCUUAGGGUGCGUUUGGCUGCACCCUGUUUCUAUUCCCAGGAACAGAAAUUUCUGUUUUGUUGUUCUUGGGAACAAAAAAGGAACAGAAACGCGUUUAGGUGCGUUUCUGUUCCUUUUUUGUUCUUUUGUUCCCAGGAACAAAAAAGAAACAGAAACAAGAAACACAAAAUUUGUGUUUCUUGUUUCUGAAACACAAUUGAGAAACAAAAAAGGAACAAAAUUGUGUUCCUUUGCUAUUUCUUGCUCCCUUCGAACACCGCCUCUCUCCCCCCCGCGACGAGCUUCUCCUCCUGCGAGCAGAGAAGUCCAUCGUCUUCUCCGGCGCCGACAGUGGCCUCUGUCUCGACAGCCGCUGCUCCUUCACCAGGUAAACGUGGUCACUGCUCCUCCUUCACCGAUUGUCUUCACUUCAGCGAGAGCCACCCCUCGCAGAUCUGGGCAAUGGCUAGUCGGAGCUCGAGUGUUAGGGCUCGCUCGAGCCAGCGCUUGCCUAGAUGUGCGAGCCGCUUGCUCGAGCGAGUCUCACAGAUCUGGGCGAGCGUUGCUCACCCAGAUCUGCGACAGCAGCUCGUCUGCUCGCUCGAGAUCUGGGAGAGAGAGCAGAGCAGCGAGCGUCGCUGCUGGUCAGGCUCGAGCGAGCAGAGCAGCGAGCGUCGCUGCUGCUCAGGCUCGAGCGAGCAGAGCAGCGAGCGUCGCUGCUGCUCAGGCUCCAGCGAGCAGAGCAGCGAGCGUCGCUGCGUCGCUGCUGCUCAGGCUCGAGCGAGCAGAGCAGCGAGCGUCGCUGUUGCUCAGGCUUGAGCGAGCAGAGCAGCGAGCGUUGCUGCUGCUCAGGCUCCAGCGAGCAGAGCAGCGAGCGUCGCUGCUGCUCAGGCUCCAGCGAGCAGAGCAACGAGCGUCGCUGCUGCUCAGGCUCCAGCGAGUGUCGCUGCUGCUCAGGCUCGAGCGAGCAGAGCAGCGAGCGUCGCUACUGCUCAGGCUCCAGCGAGCAGAGCAGCGAGCGUCGCUACUGCUCAGGCUCCAGCGAGCAGAGCAGCGAGCGUCGCUGCUGCUCAGGCUCAAGCGAGCAGAGCAACGAGCAUCGCUGCUGCUCAGGCUCCAGCGAGCCGCCCGCUGUGUGCCGGAACUGGAACCAUCGGCGACUCUUCUGCCGUGCCCAAUGGUGCUGGCACUGGUGAUGGGGAAAGGGCACGAAACGGGGCAAAUAUCUGGCCUUUGCGGGCGUUCCUCGACACCAUGAGGAGUUGCUGUUCCAACAAAUCUUUGUCCCGCGAUCCUGUUGUUCCGUGGCAAAAAAAACGACGCCCUAUCUAGGCCAAUAUCUUCCGGUGGGUAUUUUCCUAGUCUUUCUCCAUUUUAUUGAUCUAUUAAUGUCAAUCAAAGUAGUCAGCAAGAAUCAUGCAAAUGCCUGAAUCGAGCGAGCAGAGCAGCGAGCGUCUGCUCGCUUGCUUCUCCGCUCGAGCCAGCAGAGCAGCGAGCCCUGCUCUGCUCGCUCGAGCGCUCGCAACAGCAAGCAUAGAAGUUAUUGUUGCCAAGCGAGCGUCUGCUCACUGCUGCUACACUUUUCAUUGUGUGUGGACUGUCAAUUGACAACAUCGGGCAUGACAAAAUAGCCUUUUAUCACUCUCAUAGUUCUAUACAUUAUUGUUUCUUUAAUCUCAAUCUCUAUGACAUCAUGUAGAUCUAUGGAUUUGUGGCUGAAUAUAUCAAAGUGAUGUGAAUCAAUGCCGAAGUUAUUGUUAUUUAUUUUUCUGCCUUUGUGUUAAAGCUUCUCAAUUUGCGUUUUGUCCUAUAUUGCUUGGAUUUGGUUUAAUAUUAGUAUUUUCUGUGUGUCUCUAUGAACCCUUGCGGCUCAGCCACAUUUUGAUCCAAUCGGAAGUCGAGGAAGAAAAAGGAAAAAAUGGGUGUUAAAAGUGAGAAAGACAAAAGGAAGAAGAUGACGCCCAAAGAAGAGAACGUGUAGAGGGGUAGACUAAAGGGGAGGAGAAAAAUAAAAGUAAAAGAAAAGAAAAGAACAGAAAAAAAAAAAAGGCACGUGAGAAGAGAGUGGCUCGAUUCUCUCCCUCGCUCUGUUUUGUGCUGGUGUUUUUUGUGUUUCUUCUCCUCCCCUCCCCCCUUUGGGUAGGUCGCGACAACUGCUUAGUGAAAACUUUGUGCCCUACCAUGUCAUUUUUCAUAUGCAACCGCAUAUGACGUGUAGUUCAUUUAGUACAUUCUUUGUGAAUCUAUAAGAACAACAUUGUUCGACUUUUUUUUGUAGGAAUGUUGGGGAUUAUACAUUAUGCGAGAUCCUUGGUAUCUUAUGGCUAUAAUGCUUCGAUUUUUUCUCUUUAAGUUAUGGAUUUGCAGAGAAUGGAGGGUGCUGUUUCGUUGUUGGCUUAUUGCUUAUUGUCUUGAAUUUUUCUUUACUUAAGGUACAUCCUCAAUUGGUUGAUUCAUUCUCAGGUGAACGCUGAUGCUUUGAGAACUUCGGUGGAUCCAUCCAAAGUUCCGGAUUGCCGGUGCCAAUCCACGAAGACAUAUUCUUUUUCCCUUGCUUUGUCCGGAAUUUGCCAGUCCCUGCCACAUAAAUCGCAAUUUGCUGAAUUUGGAAACAAUCAUCCGCACGCUAAGGUUGGCCUCUCGGCUUUUUUUUUCAUUGUCUUAAUCUUAGAGAUCUUAUAAUUUAGUUGGACCAUUCACAAAAUAGGAUAGGGUAUACGGAUCCAUAUAGGUUACCAUGCUAAUUUUGUAUAUGGCGUGUAGUUCUUACGGUUUUAUGUUAAUGAUUUAAUUCAUAACUCAUGUGAUGCUCAACCGGUCGAAGAUUCAAUGGCAUCCGAGAGACACCCAUUCAAUGCAAAGUGGACGGAGUCUGUAACCAAUAUACUUAUCGGUUUAUUGGUGGAUGAGGUCAAAAAGGGAAACCGCACCUCUUCCACUUUCAACAAAGUGGGGUGGAGGAAUGUACAGUCUGAACUCAGUAGACAGACAGGAUUCCAAUUUACCAUGGUUCAGCUGAGGAACAAGGUAAACAAAUUGAAAAAACAGUAUGGCAGUUUUCACAAACUCAUUUCUCAGUCCGGAUUUGGUUGGGAUAAUGUCAACAAAAAAGUUAUUGUCGACGAUCCAAGUGUAUGGGAAUCUCAUAUCAAGGUAUUUCUUAACUUUUGUGGUCAUUUUGAUAUCAUUACAGAUGUCAUUUAUAAAAUGUAUGAUUAUAUUGCUGAAAUGUCAUUAUUGUAAAAAUUGUAGGAUAAUGUCGAGUGUGCAAAAUUCAUGAAGAAUGGACUUCCUCAGUAUCCUUGAGCUUUGUAUUAUUUUUGGUGGUACAUAUGCUACUGGUAAUUAUGCCGUAUGAUGUGCUCAAGAAGACCAUAUGUCGGAUGAUGAUGACAAUGGUGAUGACAAUGUACGUGGUGACAAUAGUGGUGGCGAUGCAGAUGGUGUCAAUGCAGGUGGUGACUAUGAUGGUAGCAAUGCAAAUGAUUUCAUUGGAUACCAUAGUGAUGACAGACUUUUUACAACAGACGAUACUGGAACUUCAGCUCGUGGGAAGCACAAAUUGGAUAGAACUCCAAAUAGUAGGCGGAGAAGAAAGAGCAACCAAUCCAAUUUUGCUGAAACUUGUAGAGCCAUACAAGAUUUUCUAAAAGUUAGGUCAUCAACUCCAUCUGGUGAUGGCUCUGCGAGCUCAGGGACUUCACAACCACCUGUUGACCCUUUCUCCGUAUCUACUGCGGUCCAGAUUCUAAACAAUAUGCCCGAGCUAGAGCAAGAUGUUUACAAUAAAGCAGUGGAACGAGCAUGCGUCAAUCGUGAAUGGAGGGAGGCUUUCAUUACAUGCAUACCUGCAAGGAGGAUUGGCCUUCUUCAAUUUCUUUAGUAGAUAUUUGGAAAUAUAUUAUGAAUUGCAUGGAGUUUCAUUAGAUUGUAUAACGUAUAUUAUCUAUUAAUAUCUAGUUUAUUCAAAUAUGAUUAGUGUUGAGACUCUUGUACUUAUAUGUAAUGGCAUAUCUUAUUGAGAUUUUAUGACUUAUGUUAUUAAUUGUUAUUAGGAUGUGUUUUCAAAAUCUAUAUUGAUGUUUUGGUCAUUUUUGUGAUUGUAUAGGUACUAUGGAAGGGGGAUCAAAUAGUGUGUCUAAUGAGCAAGUACAACCAGUUGAACAAUUCUCGGGUGAUGACAUUAACAUAUUGGUAGCGUGGCUCUGCUUAGGUACGAUGGAGACAUCCCUCAAUAUGAGAGAACCUAUUAGGGAUAGUCAAUUAUCGGGAGGAGAAUGGAUAAGGGAGAUUGUUCAUGGACAUUCAGAUAGGAUAUAUGAAGCAUUUAGGAUGGAGAGACAUGUUUUUCUCAAUUUAUGUGACUUAAUGAGGGUAAGGGGUUGGUUGAAAGAUAGUAGAUUUGUUCAAAUAGAUGAACAAGUUGGGAUAUUUUUAAGUGUGGUUACUCACAAUAACUCAAAUAGAGAUUUAUGUGAGAGAUUCCAACAUUCAAGAGAAACGAUCAGCAGGUAUUUCAAUAAAGUGUUGAAAGCAAUGAUCAAACUUUCAAAGGAGAUAAUCAAACCACCGUCCUUUGACGUCAUUCCACAAGAAAUUCUUAUUGAUCCUAGUCAUAAACGCUACUUCAAGGUAUGAUUUUUAUAUUGAUUUUAUACCGUGAAAUACAUGUAGUUGAUAAUCUUAUAUGAUAUUAGAUUGUUAAUAUAUUAACAGGGCUGCGUAGGUGCUAUGGAUGGCACCCAUAUAGAUGCUACCGUUCCUGUGUCUCAGCAGAUUCCAUUUAGAGGUAGGAGUGGGAGAACAACUCAGAAUGUGCUGUGUAUUUGCUCUUUUGAUAUGAAAUUUACUUUCGUGUAUGCUGGAUGGGAAGGAUCUGCCAACGAUUGUCGAGUGCUUUCAGCAGCACUCGAAAAUCCACAACUGCAAUUUCCCCGACCACCACCUGGUAUUUACUUUGUUUAUGAAGACAAUUUUAUGAUUAUAUAUUAUGGUUCAAUAUCACAACAAAUUUUAUAUAUAUCAUGUUACAGGGAAAUAUUACGUGGUAGAUUCAGGUUAUGCAGCACUUCCAGGAUUUUUAACUCCAUUUAGAGGCGAUCGGUAUCAUCUAAGCGAGUAUAGAGGGAAUGGGGGACGACCAAGGACAGCAAGAGAAUUGUUCAACAAAAAGCACUCUUCACUGAGAAAUGUAAUUGAGAGGUCAUUUGGGGUAUUAAAGAAUCGAUUCACCAUUUUGAGACAGAUGCCUCCAUUUACAAUUCGGAAGCAAGCACUUGUUGUAAUUGCUUGUUGUGCUCUCCACAAUUACAUUCGUGAUCAAGAUGCGAUGAAUAGAAACUUUUCCCUAUAUGGAGAUCCGGAAUAUGUAUGCGGACCUACAGAAUUGGAGGUUGCAGAUGAUACAUUGCAUGAUGCACCUGGAAUAAACAUGCUUAGGACAAGGAUUGCAAAUAAAAUGGCGAGGGAUCAUAAUAUGCCUGAAAUUUCAUGACUUUGUGUUUCCGACUUUUGUAAUUUUGUUUUUAAGUAUUCACUUAUCAAAUCCAAUGUGAUGAAGUUGAACAAUGAACUAUAUUACUUCAUUAUUGUGAUGUUAUGUAUGAAAGGGUCUACGUAGAGAUCUAUGAAGUAUUCUUCUUUUAGGUAGCUCUUAUUGUGGGAUUUUUACUUACGAAAUUUUGUUCCAAGUAUGCACAUGACCAUAUUCAAAAUGUUUGUCUUCACCAACCAUGAACAAAAUUAAAUUGAUGAGCAUUUCAUUAGAGUGAUAAUGCAAUACCGAGUUUACACUUUAUUGAAAAAAAAGGCACGUGAGAAAAAUUUGGAACAAAGUUUAUUUAUAAAAUUUUCUUCAAAGUAUGCACUUAUAACCAUGUUCAGAAUGUUUGACUUUACUCACCAUGAACAAAAUUAAAUUGAUGAACAUUUUAUGAUAAUGAGAAUUCAAAGUCAAGUUUACACUUUAUUGAAAAAAAGGCACGUGAGAAAAAUUUGGAACAAAGUUUAUUUAUAAAAUUUUCUUCAAAGUAUGCACUUAUAACCAUGUUCAGAAUGUUUGACUUUACUCACCAUGAAAAAAAUUAAAUUGAUGAACAUUUUAUGAUAAUGAGAAUUCAAAGUCAAGUUUACACUUUAUUGAAAAAAAGGCAUGUGAGAAAAAUUUGGAACAAAGUUUAUUUAUAAAAUUUUCUUCAAAGUAUGCACUUAUAACCAUGUUCAAAAUGUUUGACUUUACUCACCAUGAACAAAAUUAACUUGAUGAGCAUUCUAUGAUAAUGAGAAUUCAAAGUCAAGUUUACACUUUAUUUUAAAAAAAAAUAAAUGGGAAAAUUUUUGUACGAACUUAAAAAAAUUUCUUCCGACUAAGCAAAUAUGAUCAAGUUUAGAAUGUUUGUUUUCACUUAAUAUGAACAAAAUUAAAUUGAUGAGCAUUUCAUGAGAAUGAUAAUUCAAUACCAAGUUCACAUUUUAUUAAAAAAAAAACAAUUAAAAAAAAUUGGAACAGAAAUUUUGUACAUUACCAAACGUGUUUCUGUUCUUUUUUUAUUCCAGAAACAGAAAUUUUUUACAGUUACCAAACGUGUUUCUGUUCUUUUUCUAUUCCAGAAACAAAAAUUUUAUACAGUUACCAAAUGCGUUUUAUUGUUCAGAAAUUGUUCCCAGGAACAGAAACACUUUUUUCUAUUUCUGUUUCCUGGAACAAUUUUUAAACAGAAACGCAAACAAAUGCGCCCUUACUGUUCAAUUUGACGCUUUAAGACAACCCGAAAAUGACUCCGAUCAUUUCACAGGAGCUUUCUACUUCCCACAGCGUACUACGUGGAGGAUGCUUGAGCCGCACAUGGUCCAUUCCUAGUGAAUAGAAGCAUCCUACGUACCAAAUCACCUUUCGGCAGACCUUGCAAGAGAGGCUGAGCUCAACUCCCCCCUCCAAUCCAAAAACAAGAUGGACUGCUAAUCCUAGAAUUCUUCACACAUGUCCUGGGGUAUCAUGAAAGAUAUCGAAUCCUCUUUUACCAUGGAGCCAUCAUUCCAGCAUCUAUGUUCCAGCAAUUACAAUGCGCGCUUUUCCCAUGUUAUGGAAUUCCUGGUUUGCAGGUAACAUCCAUAUCAAGAUAAAAAGAAAGGUGGAGGGAGGGAGGUAUGGAGGGAGAGACUAGCCUCAUGUAACGACACAUCUUCCACGUUCAACCCUAUGUGGAGUGGCUUGAUAAAUCCGGGACUUUUUUGGCAGAGAUUCGCAGUUAGCUGCUUUUAGGAUACAUGUGCUUGAUGGAAGCUGUAGGAUUUCCAGUAAUUGCUCGCAUUUUCACACUCGCGAUUCCUAUAAAUAAUCAUGCUCACCGUCGCAUGAUGGACAGCUAGUAAGAUUGUUUCCACUUCCCAGACACAUAUGAACAUUCCUGGUUGAAGACAACAGGAAAGAUUCUGGAGGAACCUUAAUCCAGGCAUAACACAGCCCCGAGGUCCAACCAAUUCAAAUUCUAAUGUCCAAUGUCCAUAUGUGGUCAGUUAAACCCCUUCGUUUGCUACGCAAACUUGACAGGAUUGGAGCAACCUUCGAGAGUCGGGUACUCGAUGUUUCGCAACUUACAAACUCGUGCAUUUGUAGCCCUUUCUCUUCACCUGUCUAGGACUUAUUGACAACAAGAACAUGUACUUCAAUGGCCGUAUGAAUAUUGCAGCAAUUAAGAACUUUCUUAAUGUAAUCAAUAGUCUGCCCCUCGAGGAAACUGACUAUAUCGAGAAGAAUCUCCUUUGCGUAUCCUCCAGCCAGGCCAUCUUAAGCGCAUCAUUGAUGCUUUCUUUUAGGAGUUUUGAUAAGUUUAUUCAGUGCACGUCCCAUUCACCUCCUCUUCUACUGCACAAAAUGGAACCCAGACACCUCGAGUGCAAAAGGAAGGCUUUUAGCAUUAUCAUUAUGCAAAAUGGUAUUCCUUAAGAUUCCUCUUUAUUUCUAAGUUCUCGCCCCUUAGAAAAGCUACUUACUGAAAGGUUCAAGGGACUAUCAUCUAUAAGAGCUUCAACCAAAUAGAUUCAUCCCAACCUGUAAGUAAGAUGGUCCUUUUUCCCUCUACCAAACCACUCACAUCCUCCGACUAAAUCAUUUCAUCGUGUCAUGCUAUCGACAUAGGGAAGAGUAUACAUCUAAAAAAUAUGCCUACAUGGAGUAUAGAUUAUUUCACCAGUGUGUGUCUAAAAAAUUCAAUUAAUGUUUGAUAACAUCACUGAAUCCAUCAUCUGUCCUAAUUUUGUACAUAAUCAAUUACUUAUUUGAUUGGAAAAUCACUGAUAAAAAAAAGAGAUAAGUUGAAAAUAUUUUCUUUACACUUGCCAUUCUAUAAAUUAAUUGAUAAAAAACAAAAACUGAUCCUAGAUCAAUAUCGUAAAAUUUCACAAAAAAAAAAAAAACUAAAUAACUAAACGAAUUAUCUUUAAUAUCACAUCUAGGAACCAUCUAAUUUGAAAAUAUGAUUCGUACAAUUAUAGUAAAUUUUCAAUAAGUAACGAUAAUUAUUUGUGAUAAUCGUGGCGCAACCGAUUGAUAAAACUUGGAUAUACAUCGGGUCCUAAAAUUGGCGGCAGCAUUGGCGCCGUCACCACCGCAGGGUCGGCCCCUAAAAUAUCUAUUUUCUCGAGCAAACAGAUAAAAGAAGAGUAUAAGAUCAUCUUCCUUCGUGUGUGCUGUUCGCUCUCGACGGUUUCUCCGAUCUCCGGCAGAAAAUAGAGAACCUCUCUCUCUCUCUCUCUCCUUUCUCUCACUUAGAGCAGAGUCACCUGCGAGCGAUGGACACGCUCCUCUCUCCGCUGCUCUCGGCGCCUCUCUCACGCCUCCACUCCACUGCUUGUCCAGUUCAUCGGCCGCCACCAUCCGCCGGGCUUGGCCUCCUUCUCAAUCUGACUUCAGUUUCUGCGAAUCGGGCUUCUGAUCCCUGAAUCACCCGCCGUCGCCGCCGCCGGAGGCGCUCUCGCGGCCAAUCUCGUGCCGGUUCACGCUCUUUCUCUCUCGUUUUGUGUUUCUAGUACUUGGCGCUUGCGAUCGGUUUGGAAUCUCUUGAUGUUGUUUGUGCUUCGUGAUUCUUUGGUGGAAUGUAUUUGUAAUCUCUCUUACUGGCGCUGUGCUUGUGAUGUGCAACCUCGGAUCAGUUUGAGCCGCUGACGUUUGUUGAGAAGUCGAUUCUCUUGUUGCGGUUAUGAUCGUAUGACGUUGCAUUCUAGGGGAUUAGCGAGUCUCUCUCGUUCAGCAAUCGGAAAAAGUUGCUUCCUUUAGUUCACUUAGCGUUGCAAAUGACUAUACUAAGGGCCUGUUUAGUAACCAUCCAAACAGUGCUUGAUUCUGAUUUUUUGUUUCCAGAAUCAGUUUGGGAUGAGAAUUGCGUUUGGUAAAAUUUUUGUUUCCGGGACCAAAUUUGUUCCUGGAACAGAUUGGGAAGAGAAUAAAAAAAAAAAAAGUUCAUUCUUGUUCCGAGAACAAAAUUGAGAAUCAAAACUCUUCUUCUCCUCUUUUCUUCUUCUUCAUUAACUGCCAUCUCGCGACUGCCUCCCGCUGCCCACCGUCAUCUGUUGCCGCCGGUCGCCGCCGAUUGCCAGCAACUAGUCCGACGAGCUCGCUAGAGGCUCUCGUCUAGCCUAAAAAGAAAAAAGAAAAAAGAAAAAAAGAAAAAAAAGAAUAGGAGAAAAAAGAAUAAAAAAGAAAAGAAGAAGAAGAAGAAGAGUAGGAGAAGAAGAAUAAAAAGAAUAAAAAAAAAGAAGAAUAGGAGAAAAAAGAAAAAAAAUAAAGAAAAAAAUAAAAAUAAAAAACGUGCUAUAACCAAAAACCAUUACACAUUGCCAAGCAUCCGAUUGAAAGUUAAUUAUCUUUGGAAAGUUAAAUUAGUGUCUGGUCGAGUUGCAGCUCUAUCUCUCAUAUGGUUAUCACUUGUACUAAUAAAGAAAUAGAAACGAAAACCAAGAUCAUUUAUGAUGCUCCGAGUCGAUAAGCAUAUAGGGUGCGUUUGGUUCAGCAUUUGGAAAGCUCAUUGGGAAAAUGCAAAGCAGUUUAGCCUAAAGGCCUUUGAGGGAAAUGCAAAGACUGUUUGGUAAAUUCUGCUUUGAAAAGCAACUUUGAGACAAAUGCUGUUUGGUAGAAAACACAUUUACAAAGCCCCUUUGGUGAUUUAUCUAAAUAUUUUAAUUUUUAUUUGUUUAAAAUUAAAAAAAUAAUGUUUGCGACUUUUUUAAUUUAUAUUUGACAAUCAUGUUAAAGAUAUUGUGUAAACAAUUUUAUUUAUAUUAAAAUUUCUUUUUUUGCUAAAAAAUAUCAAAUGGAAAAAAAUUACAUACUCUCUUUCUAAAUUACAAGAAGAAUAUUUUUAUUACAAUAAAAAUAUAAUAACAUAUGUUUUAAAGAAAGAAGCUCAUUAUCCUUAAAACCAUAGAAUUGCUUCGUAUCGUUGAGGUAUAAACUUAUUAUGCAAGAUCUAGAGGCAGGCUCAAGUAAAAACAAAGAAGGUUGAAGAUAUUGAUUUACAUCUAAACUAUGAGCAUCACUACAUUUUGCAUCGGAUGCUUUCGAGAAACCCCAAUUGAAUGAACAGUUGGCAAAAUGAGUUAAUGUUUUGAUCCUCAGUGCCAGAACAUGACCCCAGGAUUUUCCCUAAGUAACUCUAGCGAAAACCUUUGGAAAUUGGAUUUGCCAUGGUUAUCGUGGAUCCUUUUGGCCUGUUCUUUUGCUUAGCAUGCUAAAUCCAGACGUGCGACCAAAGUGAUGGAAUUAAUUUGCAAUCUUACUCGUCUGCAAUGGGAGCCUCAACUGUCAAUUUGCGCAACGAACAAUCUAAGAUAGAGUGAAAUCAUACACAGGAGUAGAGUAACUCAAAAACCGCACUAAACCACAUUAUUAUGAUCCAUACUUAACUCUGGAAUCUUAAAUACAAAUCCAAAGCUCAACUCAUAAGGAAAAUAAGGGCAAGCAAAGCUAUUCUCUGCACUGAGCAAGGAGCAGGUGCAAUAAUUGACACAGGGCUUCAUUCCUCCUGGACUUGUAGACUACUCUGCCUCCAUGGACGAGGACAGGGACUUUCUGGUGAAUCGGGUUGAGCCGCAGAAGUAGAGCGCUCUUGUUGAGGAUGUUUUCCUCGAUGCAGUUGUAGGUUAUGCCCUUGAGCUUCAAUACAUACUCUACCCUCCGCACGAACGCAAGAAGGGGCUGACCCAGAGCCCCAAAAGCUCUACUUCCUGUGGAUUUGCCAUUCGAGCGUUUCAGGAGAAGACUGGUUUUUCUGUGAGCUACAAACUUGACAAACCACAGGCCCUUCCCGAAAAAAUCAUACAGCAUCCCAUACCCAAUCUAAUGCCUUCCAAAUCAUAAACUCUUACCCACGAACAUCAUCAGAGAUCUUAAGAAAAUCGUGCAUAAGCACUCACUGACAAACCACAACCAAAGAGGCUGACCACGGUCACGGUCCUCCAAUGCUCUCCGCACACCAGACUACCCUCGCCGACUCCGCCAGUCGCCGAAUUCACGAAGUUCCACCGCAGCAGCCGAGUCAAAACUCCCAUUCCAUCGCUCUGCUGCGCGGACCCGCUCGUCUUACUCAUCUUCACGGCCUUCAGCGGCUCCCUCCUCUUGACCACCCUCAUGUCGACACCCACAUUCUCAUCCUCUCCUCGGCAGCUCAACUCCACGGCCACGGUAUCCAGUGGCGCCGGCAUCACGACCAUCAGCUGCGAUUGCAACCUCAGCGCCACCUGAUCCUCGUCGUCGCCCGCCGUCCAGUCAAGCUCGAUCCUCCCGGGCCCCGCCUCCUGAUCCCGCGGCGACAUCGACCCCAGCGACGACCCCGACCCCGAUCCCGACGACGCCAUCGACGAGACCGACGCGCGCGUCGGAUCCUCGACGCCGGCGUGGCCCAGAUCCUCCCCGGCGCCGUACGCGAGCGCGAGGUGGAAGCUCUCGGACGUCUGGUUCCAUCCCACCCAAGACAUUCCCGAUCGGGGAUCUGCCAGCCUCGCGCGCCGCUCACCGCCCUCUCGGUCGAUCGAUCGCGGUAGUCGUCGUCGUCGGCGGCGGCGGCGGAUCGGAGGACGGCAGUCGAGCUCGCAGUCGUCAUGAGGGAGAGAGCGAUGGGGAAGGGUGCGGAGCAUGGGGGAGGGUGUGGAGAGAACGCCAGGGUUUUAGUUCUCAAAAUGGACAAAAUUGGUUUUUCAAUAAAAUUUUGAGGGUAAAAUAGGUAAUUUACUAACUUUCAUUAAAUGACCCUUCAGCAUUCUCAAUGGUUGGCUUUCACCCGAAAGCCCUUUGAGAAUAAUUGCCAAACACCCCAAAUUUUCUCCAAUGGGCUUUGAGGCUCCAAGGGGCUUUCUAAAUGUCGAACCAAACGCACCCAUACUCCCCCAACUAAUUUAACAGAAAGCAGCAUUUUGCAUAAGGUGCACAGAACCAUCCUAUGUAGGAGCUUCCAGACUUGACUUGCCUUUUCCAUCAAUAAAAUAAAUAGAAAAGAAAACUAGCAGUACUCUCAUGCUCCGGGUGCUAAUAUACAUGAGUCAAUCGUAAAACAUCGGUUGUUGGAAUAUUAUUUAUAAUGAACAAUCUGACCUUUUCAAGGGCUUCUACAAAAGCAAAUCCCAGAAUAAUUUUCCCUCACUUUUCAAACUAUUUUUUUCCAUACCAUAUCUUGCAUUGACCGAACAAAUUCGAAUCUGUUCAGGAAUUUCUUCAAACACGUAAUGGGCAGCGAGUUGGAGAGCGAAUAUGGACCUAUUCGGAGCUCGAGCUGAAACCUAAACUCAAGAGAAAUCAGCGAGCAACGUUCAAACUUAAGAAAAACCGACUCAUUCAGAUCCGACGCGAGUGAGGACUAAAGAAAUUGAGCUUGCUUUGCUCUUUUAAAAUCAAGCGGGACGAGGCAAAAAAGAAAAAAAAAAAAAAAAAGGAACGAGCACUCAAUCGCGGGGGCCCUACCUGGGUUGGCGGCCGCGGGCAUCGUCGGCGGCGAAGGUUGAGAAUAGCGACUCCAAACUCGUGUUAGGCUUCAGUCGACUCCACUGAGGUCAGGGACGGCGACGACGAAUGGCAGCGGGCAGACGAUGCUCUGGAGGUGGCGGACGACGUAGAUCGGCUGUGGCUCUGAGGUUUUGUGUGGGGCUUCAAUGGCGACCAUUCACGUAGUAGAGAAAGACCAAGAUGCUUUUUUUUUUUUUUUUCCUUCUUUUCGUGAGAGUAAAGAAGUGGCUGACAGUGAAGGAGUGCGGUAGGACUCCGGGAAUGGAAUGCGAGAGCAGUCGCCGGUAGGAGGUAGUCGGACGGAGAUGGUGGAGGUAGCUGGUAAGGUGAGUUCUGGAAAAAGGGCGGGGAAUGCCCUUUUUCCCUUUCUAGAAAAAUCUCCCUGAAGAUGGUGGUCUCCCCUCCCUUUCCGUGAACGCCCCGCCUUUUUUCCCCCCUUUUAUUAUGGGAAAUUGUCUCUUUUAAGAGAGAGCGCGAGAGAUCCCUAGAAAGAGCUGUCCUUUCAGAUUCGAAGAGGCGGCUAUUAGAGGAGAUGAAAGUUGAUGUGCUUCCGCAGAAUGCCUACUGUCUUGGGUUGCGGCUUUAUCUCUUAUGUGUAUAUCGCUUCGUCCUUCUUGACCGUGACUUUCUCGGAUCACGUGCAGUGAUAAUCAAAGAAAGUCAUAAAAAGGAAAACUAAAGGAUAAUCUAUUGCACGCGUGCAUAAAAUUUAUGCCGCAUCCCUAUUUUUUAUUUUAUUUUUCUUUCUUGUUUUGACUUGCUUUCUUUACUAAUAAAAAAAUAGAAACGAAAACCAACCACAAUUCCAAUACUCUGAAUCGGUAAGCAUAUUCUCCGCCGAACUAAUUUAAUAAAAGGUAAAUAGUGAUAGAAAAGAAAACAAAAGGACAAUCAAUGCACGCGUAAUUAAGGUGCGUGGAACCUGCUUCUUAAGUUGACUGGCCUUUUUCAUUAAUAAAAUAAAUAGAAAAGAAAACUAGCUAUACUCCCAAGCCCCCAGUGCCAUACAUGAGUUAAUUGCAAAAGCAUUGCUUGUUGGAUUAUUAUUAUUUAUAGUGAACGAUUUGACCUCUUUUUUUCCAUCAUAUGGGAUUCUAGACAAGUAAACCCCAAAUCACUUUGACCUCACUCCUUAAUUAUUAUUAUUUUUUCGACAUUUUGCAUUUAUUUUAUACUUUUAAUGUCACAUUUAGAAUUUCUUAGGUAAAGGGUUAUCCACGGUCAAAUAACUAUUUAGGGAAUACUUUUUUUUUCCUUUUUUUUUCAUUUUUGUCAAACCUUUUAUUCCACAUUAACACUCUAUUUUCUUAACUUCUUAGUAAAGAUUAUCACUUAUUCAUCUGAAGGUGUUUGUCAUUAGUAAUCGGAUAUUAUGAAGGGGNNNNNNNNNNNNNNNNNNNNNNNNNNNNNNNNNNNNNNNNNNNNNNNNNNNNNNNNNNNNNNNNNNNNNNNNNNNNNNNNNNNNNNNNNNNNNNNNNNNNUGAGAGAGAGAGAUGUGUGGGCGUGAGAGAUGUUGCCCGAGGGGGGAGGAAAAUUAAAAGAAAAUAUCCUAUGACCCAAAAUUCUUGAUCCCAUUUGCUGUUGUUUAAUUUGAAUUGGUCCCCAAAAAUCCCCAUACUAAAAUACUUGAUCCUUAUUUGCUUUCUCGUACCAAAUUUCCCUUAAACGACAAGUCUUGGGUAACAAAAACGGCAAUUUCCUUUGAUUCCAAAUUUUAUUUCAUUUUUCUCGAAAUCCGAUUUUCUGAGCAAACAUCUCCGAUUGAGGUCUAAUUUGUUGAGAACAAAGCCCAUAAAAAUUCCCUUUUCACUAAUUCACUUACACCAAAUGCCAAAAAUUCCUUAAAAUUGGUUAAUCUGAAUUUCUGUUCAUUUUUCGAAUUGUCUAGAUCGAUUUUCGGUAAAAAUCUUGAACUCUCUCAAAAUUCCUCGAAAGAUGAGUCGACGUUCCUAAUAUGACCUGUGACAUAACAUAACUUUCAAUUUCUGAAAUCGAGUUUAAAUUCGCAGUAAAUUUCAAUUCGGCGCAAUUUUAGCGUGACCUAGGCUACCGGGUAGCUUUCAAAAUUUUUUAAUGCAAAUGACUCGUAAUCGAUUUUCUUCGAACCACAAUGAACCCAUUCAACACAUUGACGACUCUCGGUUGUCGUAAAAAUAUCGAGGUUUCGAUUACAAACACAUGGUACCAAAACGAUAAAAAAAUCAAGUUAGUAUCGAUCGACGAGAAUUUUACAAUUUAGUGGAAUCACCUACGUUUAACCACAUAUCUCAGUCAAAUCGACAUAUAUCUUAUUUCUAAUUGAUCUUUACUGUGUCAUAAUGAUCUCAACAGAUGAGUACAGUCGAGUAGCCGAUUUCUCGUCAAAUUCUCAAGUCUAUUGCUUUAAAAUUUCGUAAUGGCUUUCCUAGAUAGUCUAGUUAUCUCAAGAGUGAUCAGCUUUGAAACAGCUAUAUAGGCGCAUCGAUGAAAUACCAGAUUAAUUUAAUUGAAAGUAUAAGUGAAAAAUCCAAAAUGUCACAAUAUAUUUAAGGUCUAUCUUGUGAUUAUGUUCAACCAUUUUGUAUAAUGAAUUGAGAAGAACUUCAAUAAUAAAUACAUGAUGCGCAAAUCUCUGGUCCAUUGAUUUUGCAAAUUGGCUCUGCCAAUUCAUUUUAAUUAGAGUAAAGAAGGGCUAGUAUUAGAUCAAGGAUAGUUUAGUUGGAAUAUAGAUAGUGUAAGAGGAUGAUCAUCGAAGAGUGUCAAUUAAAUUUAGAAUCACCACAAAAAAGAGGUUUUUCAGCGCAAGGGACAAGGUCAUGAUGUUAUACGACGCGCUAGGGAUGUAUGGUGUGGCAAGCAAAUCAAUUUCUAAAUUUUAGCGUCAACUAAGACGAUAAAUAUUUCAUACGACCAAUUUGAUUGGCUGGUCACAUCAUGUCAGUUGUUGGCGAUCUAACUAUUGAAUGAAAUAUUUUUCUCAAACAAGGGGAUAGUCCCUUGAAAAGUUUUCGAAUGCUAGAACUCCCAAGCUUGCGAGAACUUUGAGAAAAACCUACUCCCUUUGAAGAAAUGCUACUCAUUGUCACCCAAAAUCGCAAGGACUUUCUAGUAGGUACUACUGUUGAUAUGCACUUUAUAGUUACUAAUUUCCAUACCGUCACUUAAGAGUUCGAUGAAAGAUUUUACUAUGCUAUUGGAUAAUUCCUAAAUGACAGGAUCAUCAAGAUAUAAACUCUACAAUAAAACUACUAACCUUAAAAGAAAGUUAUUAACUAUAAGUUACUAUCUACAGAUAUAGUGAUGAUCAUGAGGACUUCUCAGGACUUACGACCGUUGGAAAAAUAAUUACGAUGUACAAAUACUAUCAUUUACAAAUAAAGAGGAUAAUUACUGUAUCAAUGGAGAAUUAAAAAAUGAUGACACCCACGGAUUAAGAAUAACGAAAGGGAUGUUCGUGAUGGAAAGUUAAUAAUCGUAGGUGCAGUAUAACUUUCGAGGAUUUCAAGUGAUUUACACUUGUUUUGGAAUAUUUACUGAGAAAUUUCGUCAUUUAUUAUAACUAUUUGAUGAAAUUUACUAUAUUAACUUUAAGUUUACUAACGACUAAGAUUAACACACGGGUAUAACAAAGAUUAUUUUUGGCAAUAAGCAAAGAUUGACAUACGGCUACAACUGGAUUAUGUAUAGAAACACAUAAGCAAUGCUGCAAACCUUUUCUACUUCUUGUGUACUUAUCUUUAUCAUUAUAGAUAAGUACACAAGAAGUCGUAAAACUUAUUACAAAAGUACAAUCAAAUCUCAAAACUUUUAAAAAGUACGAUCGAAUUUUAAAACUUAUUCAAUCAGUGCAAUUAAAUACUUUUGUUAGCACAAUCUAGUAUGAGUAAUGAAAAAUGCCGGCAUGUAUAUAUUAAUAUAAUUUGACUGCGCAUGCUGGAGAUACUUGAGCCGAACGUGAUGCCCCACUCUAAUGAAUUGAAGUGCCUCGUGUGCCAAGUCACCUUCUCUCCAUUUUCAGAUAUAUUGAAUCUGACAUGAGAGAUUGAAACCAAACACUAUCUCUUACUUCAACAACAUCAUGAAUGUCCUGGGGUAGUAGGAAACGUACGCCAACCCCUAAUUUGUUUCGCCGGCUUAACGAUUGCUUCCUCAAGACCCAUUUAACUUGUUUCGCUGUCAUUGGCUUUCACUUCCUCCAUUAAGCACGGAGAAAUUUCCUCAAGAAAUCUCUCGUCCCCAUUUCAUAAAUUGAAGCUGCAUCCACUGAUUGAUGGUCUCUAAGCACAACUUUCAAAUCAUCAUCCAUUCGCUUGCAUCUUAGCACAUAUCCCACCUUUUCCACGUUUCCACCCGACACUCUGAGUGUAAGGCUAAAUUGUAAGUAAUCCUUGUCAAAUUCAAGAAAAUCAAUUGCUCCCUCCAACACUCCCCACAGCACAUUUGGUUCAAGAUAUUGAAUCCACAUUUGAUAUGAAUCAAAUGAACCAAGAGAUCCUGAUAGCACAUUUCGUUUUUGGCUGUUAACAUGGGGCACGAUGUCGAAAAAUAUUUCCUUUUCUCCAUCUUCUACAUUGAAAACAACACAGAGAGCUAAUCCUUGGAACUUAUUAUAAAAGUCCUGUGAAACCAAGAAAGUUAUGGUACCACCUUCAACAAGGAUGAACUCCUCUGGCAUUACUCUUUUAGGGAGAACAACUCUGUAGGGAAAAAAUAUGGAGUAGCGAUACUUCUGUUAUAAGGGUAAAUUGUCAGAGGUACCCAAGUUGGUAAUUAGCUGAAAUUGAAGAGUUUAUUUUGAGAAUCUUUCUUGUAAUUCAACCAAAGCUAGAGUUUUAUAAUAAUUGAACAUAUUGAUCCUUCACUUGCGAGUGUUGUAGCCACCCCUAUAAAAUGUAAGUGCAGAAUCGCUUUAUGUUAGAUUUGCUUGUUUGUAUAGAAUUUUCAGUUCUUGCUUUAUACAAACGGAGUGCGCCCGACAUACGCUCCAACAAAUCAACACGUGCACUUAGGAAUGCGCGCGCACCCAGAGAGAGAGAGACAGAGACAGAGACAGAGACAGAGACAGAGACCUCAACUGAGAAGCCAGGCCUGAUCCUCUCGUCUUCGUCUUCUGAAAUAUCGUAUUCUGAAAUAUCGCAAUCUGAAAUAUCGUCUUCUGAAAUAUCGCAAUCUGAAAUAUCGUCUUCUGAAAUAUCGUAGUCUUCUGAAAUAUGGUCGUCUUCUUUAGUUAUACGGUCUUCCACUGACUUGUUAUCUUCAUGGGCUCGCCACCGCUAUAACAUAUAGGUGCAAAAUCACAAUAUAUUAGCUCGUUUUGUUUACUAGCAUUUACGGCUUUUGCAUUAUACAAAAACAAUGCACCCAUAUCAAUCAAACACACACACCCCACAAUCGCGGGGAAGGAGAGAAGGGGUGGGGGGGGUGGGGAGGACCUGAAAUGAGAGAUCGGCCGAACUUUCUUCCUCUCUGGUUGUUUCUUUAUACCCAUGCCGAAUCUCAUAGAUCAAACUCGGAUUUGGCAACUCGUUGUCUUGAUACAAGGACUUCAAAUCGUCCUCUAGUGGCUUGCAUAUUAAUCGAAAUCCACACUUUUUUAUAAUUGUAUCACCCGAUGCUCUAACACCAAAUUGGAAGGAACUUAAGUCAAUUGGACCAAAAUCGUCUACUGGCCAUAGCUCCUCUCUUCCAUAAGAAAAAAGCCACACAUGAUACGAAGUCGAUUGAAUUGAUUCGUCUGUAUAUCGAGAUUGAUGGGUACCAUUAAUGUACGAAUUGAUUUUCACUUUUAAAAUUCGUUGCCCUUCCUUUACUCGAAUUACAAGGCAUAAAACGAAUGUCAAGAACUUAUCAUACAAAUCCUUUGAAGCCAUGAAAGAUAUAUAACCCUCUUUAUUCGGGAGCAACCAUCGCGGCAUCUCUCCUCCAGGUGAGAUAAAUGUUGCCAUUUGUUUCAAAACAAGAUUACUGUCAUAGAUGUAAAUCAUUAGGACAGUAUUUUGAAUUUAGCACUUGAAAAAGAGGAGUUCCAAUGAGUUAAGUGGGUUGGCAAGUUUAGCUAUAGUUAGCAAUACAUGUACAUGUCUCCGUAUUAAUAAGAGAGAGAGAGAGAGAGAGAGAGAGAGAGAGAGAGAGAGAGAGAGAGAGAGAGAGAGAGAGAGAGAGAGAGAGAGAGAGAGAGAGAGAGAGAGAGAGAGAGUCUGACCUUAUUAUGGACCAGAUUAGGAGAUAAUAAGUAAAUGUUGGAGGGAAUUUUACUUAGAGAUUCACAACUCGUUGCCCACAAUUCCUGCAAUUUUUCUGGAAUCUUGCCAAUCUCUUGUAGCUGAUGGCAUUCCUCAACACUCAAAUGUUGUAAAUUAUAGAGGUGCUCACAUGUGGGAAGCUUAGCAAAAUUGUUUUUGGACAAACACAAUUGUCUUAAGUACGGAAAACAUGAAUGAUUCUCUAAGAACUCUACGUCAUGUAGAUUGCAUCCCCCAAGCAUUAAGAUCAGCAGCUUAGGAAAUCCCAUCUUGCUAUGUAGAUCAGUCAAAUCCUCUUCCUUUUUUGGAAACUUGAUUAGUUUUGAACAACCAUCAAGUAUCAAGCUCUCAAGAUUUGGCAACUUAUAAAUGCUAGAUGGGAGGUUUGCCAGUUUCUUGCAAUUAAUUAAACUCAAAUUCUCCAAAGAGACAAGAUUUUCUAUGGAUGCAGGAAGUUCAUCAAUCGAAGUCCCUCUUAAAUAAAGUUCUUUCAAGCCUUUGAUUUUAUUUGGAAUAUUAGGAAAUCUUUGCAACUUUGAGCAAUCGGUAAGAUUGAGAAUUUGAAGAUUCUUGGAUUGGAGCACAUCCGGGAGAUGAUGAAGGUUAGAGCACCCUUUUAGAUUCAACAACCGUAACCUGGUGUGAUGUGCAACUGAUUCAUGAGCACACUCCAAAUUUUUGCACCCACGGAGAUAUAGUUCCUCAAGAUUUGGAGUCAAAUUGAGGUCUGGCAUACAAACCAUCGACGGACAUUCACUAAAAUUGAGGAACUUCAAAUUUUUAAAGUCCUGCAAGAAACAUCCAGACGAAAAAAAAAAGUGAAGAUAAAAAUAUUUAAUGAAAAACACUUUAUCAUCAUUCAAGCCCCGUGUGAUCAGAUAUUAGUUGAUCAUAUGAUGUAUAUAGAGCACUCUCUCUCCCUUGGCCAAAAGAGAAGAUCAAAAAAGAAAACACUAGUCAUUCCACCUGAGGUCUAUCAAGCGACAUACAAGAGAAAUCAUUCCAAUGCCAAGUGGCGUGGCCACUUCUACUAUCUAUAUGUUCAGAAACAAUACAUGUAAUUCAUGGCAUGAAUUUAAGCUAACAUAGGUGGCACUUGUGAAUAGAAUAAUAGGGAUAGAAUAUAUUUUCUUGAUCCGUGAGUCGGUUUAUACUUUUUAGGAUUGCUUUAGUCUCAACUACAAUAAUAGGGAUAGAAUAUAUUUUCCAGAAAAAUGCUGCCUGAAGAUGGUGAUCUCCUCUUCCUCCCUUUCCGAGAACGCCCUGCCUUUGUUUUUUUUUUUUUUGCUUUUUUUAUGGGAAAUUGUGUCUCUAGAGAGCUUGAGAGAUCCCUAGAAAGAACUUCCCGUCAGAUUCGAAGAGGCGGCGAUUAGAGGAGAUGAAAGUUGAUGUGCUCCCGCAGGAUGCUUACUGUUUAAUCGGGUUGCAGCUUUACCUAUUACGUGUAUAUCGCUUCGUUCUUGAAAAUGACUUUCUCGAAUCACGCGGCAGCGACAAUCAAAGAAAGCCAUAAAAAGGAAAACCGAAGUUAUUGCACGCGUAAUUUCCGCAUCCUUAUUUUAUUUAUUUAUUUUCCUUUCUUGUAUUAACUUGCUUUCUCUACUAAUAAAAAAACAGAAACGAAAACCAAUCACGAUUCUGAUACUCUGAGUCAGUAAGCAUAUUCUCCACCGAACUAAAUUAAUAAAAAGCAGAUAGCGAUAUAAAAGAAAACAAAAGGACAAUCAAUGCACGCGUAAUCUCCACAGCAUUUUGUGGAAGGUGCGUAGAACCUGCUUUUUAAUUUUGCUGACCGUUUCCAUUAAUAAAAGAAAUAGAAAAGAAAACUAGCAAUACCCCCACACCCCUGGUGCUAAUAUACAUGAGUCAAUAGCAAAAACAUCGCCAGUUGGAUUAUUAUUAUUUUGAUAUCCAAAGAACUCCGUACAGCCGGUAGCCGGCGAGUAAACCUAGGGUGACGCUAGCGGAUGACCUACUACCUCAAUGUCACACUUAAAACACCAAAUACCUCCACUGGGUUGGGAAAGGAUCAAUGGGGUUCUUGAGCCUGUUUGGUUCGACUUUUGGGGAAUGCAUUUGCCAAAAUGCAAAUACCUUUGGGUGAAUGGGGUUUUCCAAAAUGCAAAUAUUGUUUGGUAAAAUUUACAUUGAGAUACAAAUUUGGCCAAAAUAUUGUUUGGUAAAAUUUGCAUUUGUAAAUGACUUUUAUUAAAUUAAAAAAACAAAAAAAAAAUAUUUUUUCUUUUUUGAAGUCCGGUCGUCGGAUGGCCAGAUCUGGCAGCCUAAGGUUGCGUCGGUCGCCCGACCCCGGCGACCGUCGCCUGAGGUCGCGCGAUCUCAGGUGGCUGCUUGGGUCGCGCGAUUCAGGCAACGACUGGGUCGCGCGACCCAGGCGUCACCAGCGAUGGUCGCCGGCACACGCGACUCCUUGGCCGGCAGUCGGCAGCCUCCGAUCGACUUCUCCAUCGGAGAGAUGAACAGUGAUGAAUAGUACCAAAGUUGCAUUCCGAAAAUGCAACUUCCCAAUGGAUCUCUACCCCUCCAUUCCCCCCAAAGGCCUUUGAAGCCCCUUGAAGAUACAAUUGCAUCUUCCCAAAGUCCUCAAAAAAUUGAACCAAACACCACAGCAUUUUGCCAAACACCUUUAAAGCCCCAAAGAGCAUUCCAAAUGCUGAACCAAAUAGGGCCCUUAUCCAGCGGAGCCACCACAGCCAGUGGUCCGGUUGGAUUAUUUAUAAUGAACGAUUUGACUCUUUUUUUUCUGUUAGAAGGGAUUCUAGACAAGCAAAUUCCAAAAUAAAUUUUCCUUACUUUUCAAACUAAAUUUCUUUAUACCUAUCUUGCCUAAAGAUUAUCAAGUCAUCCCACUUUAGCCAACUCACUUUGAUCUCACUCCUUAAUUAUUUUUGUUUUUGACAUUUUAUAUUUAUUUUAUACUUUUAAUGUCAGAUUUAGAAUUUCUCAGCUAAUGGAUUAUCUGUGAUCGCAUAACUAUCUAGGGAAUGCUUUUUUUCCUUUUUAUUUCAUUUUUGUCAAACCUUUUAUUUUAUGUUAACACUCUGUUUUCUUAACUUCUUAGUAAAGAUCAUCACUUGUUCAUUUGAAAGUGUUCGUCAUUAGCAAUCGGAUAUUAUGAACCGACUAUAAUUAUAUCGGCUUUAUCUUCCGAUAAAUACUGGAGCUUUAUGACUUUGAAUAGCAAUGACAUAUAGAGGAUUCAUGGAAUUGAAACUUCUGCUUCAAUGUCCUAGUGAUAUUAUUUAGUGUAUGUAUAGCUGCCUUUUGACGACGUUCUCAUGUAGGAGCUUUUGGACACUUUUUGCCAAUAAAAGGAUUGCGAGAGGUUGAGAUAUUUAUUUUGCAUGCAUUAUAGUUUGACUGGUGGAUGAUUUUGAGAGAACUUGCAAACUAGGAGUGAUUUUGAGUGUUUUUAUUUCUCCACUCAUAUCAAAUGAGAAAUAUUGAGUCAUUUGAUAUAAAGUUUGUGCGUUCUCUCUUGGGUUGAACCACUGAAUUCAUCUAGUACUAUUAUAUAUUUUGAUGCUCUAUAGAGGGCCUUAUGAAGAGUUGACAUGUGGCUCAUUUAAUGGUUGCCACCUCGCUUUCAUUUUCUUUAAUUUAUUCAUAAUUUUUUUCUCUUCAUUUCCAAGAGAAGGUGAUAAGUGUACCUAGCCAUUAACUCAGCGUAUAGUAUAAUAGACUUUCUUUUUUUCUCAAAGACUCGUUUGCCUUUAGGGGAAGCUCAACUUUAUCAUUUGCAAUGUCUUCUCUGCAGAUUUCUUUUUCCAAAGCCAUGCUUUAUGAUCCAUCACUUCACAAAAAUGUAUAUCUGAAAGCACAUCCAACAAGACAUGAAUAAAGGCAAGUGCAAAAAGAAGAACAAAUUUUUCGUAGAAGAACAAAUUUUGCGUGAAGUCAGAAGCUACAAUCAGUCAAUUCUAAUCCAGAAAAUACAGCUGAAUGAGGCAUAAAGUCUCUAGCUUGUUGUGUGCAACCAUCAACAAUUCACAGCUUCACGAGAAAGUAUAUCACGGAUCUGUCAAACGAAAUUCUUAAAGUGACCACAAAGAAUUAUGUGUCGUAAACAAUGCAUUCCCUAAAAGGAAGACAGAGAAAAGGCAUGGAUGAAUUGCUAAAUACUAAAAUCACUUCAGAUAAAGUUCAGAACAAUAGGUAAAAAAAAAAGGGCUUUUGCAUCUGUGCACUACAGAUUCUUAUGCAUCAGCUCAUCCUCGAUUGAACAUUACAGGGCCUUUUUAAUAUGUAAAAUACCGUUGUUAUCAAUUGUCAUCAAAUGUUAAUUUCAGCGUCUGUCUGCACAUAGGAAUUAAUUAUACAGUAUCGCAUUGGGACACCAUAAUGUCCCACUCUCGACCAUGUACAUCCGAAGCAAGGGUUGUGAUAGUAAAUUGGUAAAAAAAGCAUCCGAAUGGAACUUUGUACUUCAUCAAAGGGGAAAAAAAACUACUUAAAUUGGAAACGGAACCCCGACUGAUUACAGCAGAACCUCCUUCCCCAUCAUAGAAUUCACGUCGGGUACCAAGCCAGAGCAUCUCGAGUUUUCAUAAUCGCGGAACUCCUUGACUCAACAGCAAAGACAUUCCAGCCUAAAAGCUUACCUUGCUAUUGAGGAAGCUAACAAUCGAUGCGGGAUAGAUUAAUGCUCCCUCUCACAUGCAAAAACAAAACGGACGGGAGAUAGAACAGGGAACAGAAAUGCGGAAUAAGAUGAGGGAGAACCACAUGUAGAAUUUAACAUUAAGUUGAGCAUGAAGCAGCUGAAAUUUGAAGCCAUACUACACGCACAUUACGUGUAUCAGUCAGGCCAGGAUGAACCGAUUUGCAGCAAUAAAAGUUCCUGAAUCAGGCACACCGCUGAAUUUUAACACCACUCUCCGGCCAAACCGUACGAAUCAAACAUCGAGAAGCAGAACCGAACGAGGGACGAGUUCCAGCGGAGCUCCAACUUCAACAGAAUAAUCCGAGCGCCGCGACUAACAAGGUUGACUUUAGACAGCGCCGUAACGGUCGCAUGCAACGACAAACUCAAUCCUAAACGCGUCUUCCAAAACCAAAAAAAGAAAAAGAAAAAGAAAAAAACACAGACAUCGAUCAUCGUCCCGACCGCACCGCGUCGCGAAGCACGGCCUCUGGGAAGCCAAUGCGAGUCCUCUCGCCACACUCCAAACACUACACAUGACACCGGAGACCGUGCGAGGUCAACGCGAGCAUCUAGAGAGGGAGCUGCGGGAACUUACGGGAUCGAUCAGGCGGCGGCGGCGGCGGCGGCGGCGGCGGCGGUAGGAGGAGCGGGAAGCAUGGAGCUUGGGGGAAGCGAGGAGGAGAGGAAGAAGAAGAGAUCGCGAUCCGGAGAAGGAGGAGAAGCCCGGUUCCGAAUUUAAUAACGCGUCGCCAUAGGGAGCGGAUGGCACGGUCUCACCGACAAUCGCCGCAUUCCGGGGACCACCGACGGUCCCGACCAGGUCACGGUUCGAGCUUUUAGGGUAGAACGGUCCACUUACGGACGGACCAGGCGACGGUGGCCUGUCCGCGCUCGGAUCAGUUGGCCGGAUACAAUGUGGGGUCCGCAUGUGAAUUUUUCUACGCUUACGAGAAAGUGUCGCGAUUUGCCUCUGGUCCAUAGACACGUGUCUGCUUAGAAGAGUUUCUGGACUUCGAAAGGGUUAUGAUUAUAAUUGAUAUCGACGCUACAUAUUUACCUAUAAUAAUUUUUUAAUAACUAAAAAUUCAAAUCUGAUAUAUAUGAUAAAUUUAUCUUUAAUUAAUUUAUAUUAUAUUAAAUUUAAUAUAAUAUAAAUCUCAAAUUGGUAUAAGACUUUGCAAUAUGAUAGAAAAAUCAAAUAUAUCAUAAUUUUAAGUAUACAAAUUUGAAAUCUUUGAUGACCAAAAACUUAAUUUAAAAUAAAUUUAUUACAAAUUAAUCACUUUGUGGUUUUUUUUGUAGUAUUAACUGUUAUGGUCAAUGGGCAAUUUGUCUUCAACGACAACAAAAUAUGAUUAUAGCAUUGAAAAAAACGGCGCGUGGGAUUAACGCUUGCGCACGAGCGUGCGGGGUGGUCGUUGCGCUGAAGUGGAGUAGUCAAUGGAAACUUUGUUAAUGGGGCUUCUUGUGUUGUUGGUUGGUUGACUCUCUCUCUUUCUCGAUCGCUAUCGUUCGCUUUCGCUUUGAUCCAACGGACCGGAAGAGCGCGGGUGCUUGUCGACGGACGGACCAUGACCGCUCACGGGAGAAAAGGACGGCGACGUUUCGGGGUAGUGUCUGCGCUUGACUGUUGAUGAAAUUAAACUAUCAUUUUGAUACGAAAAUACGAGAUUUAAGCAGUGGGGCAAAAAAAAAAAAAAAAUUUCCAACAGAUGAAUAACGUGCACGUUCGAUGGUUAGUUACCUUAUAGUCAACUUAUAUUUAUCUAACAACAAAUAUAUGAAAUUGCGCCUUGUAGUAGUGAAAAGAAUAGAAGGUCUUCGGAAUAUUUUGGCCAUACUCACGAAGGAAAAGACCUUAUGAAAUUGACGAAUUCAAAAUGCGAAUUGCACUCUCAUGGACGGGCAAAGCGAUUUGUUGAAAGAGUAGAUGGCAAUAUAUUUGUAAAGUUUAAUUUAAUCGAACUAUGCUAAUUAAUCUUACAAGACUCCAAGUAGACAUUGAACGGAACCGAUGAUUGACAUGACAAUAUAUUUCCUGACAGCUAGAUACAAAUGGAAAAUGAUACGCUGCGAAUCAAUGAUCUACACGUGCUUUCGAUUAUAUGAUGUUUGUAGUCAUUGCAUUUAGGUGGCAUUUUGUGAAGAAUUAAGUUUUAAUCGGCGGGAAACAAAUUAGCAAUAAUCAAAUUUUUGUUGAAUGAUGCUGACCGAUGUCGUAAUGAAAAGAGAAUUUCUCAUGAAUCAUAUGUACAAGUAGAUUCAUUUAGAUGGAUAGAGGGGGAAGGAAAAAAUACAAAUAUGUAUAAUGAAGUGUAAAUUCGUUAGUAACUAGUAAUGUGUCACAUUGAUUAAAGGGAGCACUAUGAACUAUAGUUAGUAUAGGGUCCAUCACAAUUUAAGUGCAAUCAAUUGUAGGAUUAGAUUGACCUAUCUAAGUGAAGUCUAAGUCCAUUUAUUUAAGAUAGGAUAAAGAUAAGAUAUCCUAGGAAUCACAAAUUCAAUUACUAGGGCCGUGAAUGCUCAACCGAGAACACCCCUUUUUGUUCCUCAUAUAUUAAAUUUCAUCUAACAGAAUUACUAUAUUAAAUAACUUAUUGACAUAUAAAUACUUAAGUAAAUUAUAUAGAAAAUUUAUCAAAUAACUUAAUAUAUUAACAUAAUAGGUACUUGAGGAUCUUGUUAAUGAGUGCUCAUUUAUUAACAAUACUUUAUUUGGAAUAAUGCAAUUUCCAAGCAUUAAAUGUGCAUAAGACGUGAACUACCAGUGUAUUCAAAAUUGCAAAAUUCCCUUAAUUGGUUGCAAGGCACUUGUUAACAAAUCAUCUUUGAAAAGGUACCUUCAAACUCGUUAGCAUGAGCUGAUGAAUAAUUACUAAAAAUAAUAAUAGCUCCAAUUCCACCUCUUUUUUUCUUUGACACUUUAACUAAACGAGGGACGCUCACUACUCAUGUUUCUUCUUGUAUUUCACCCACUCAUCCUAUCAUUGAGUCCAGCUCAAAAAUUUUCAAUUAGUGACGCCACUUUUAUCAUAAUUAAAUAAAAAGCACACAUUGAAUUAUUUCUCGCGGCCGUCGCCGAGGUCGCGCGACCCCGGCGACCCCAGGCGGCGGUCGCCUGAGGUCGCGCGACCCCAGGCGACCAGAUCCGGCCGCCGGAUCCGGCGGUCCGGCCGUCGGAUCCGGCCAUCCGGCCGCCGGAUCCGGCGGUCCGGCCAUCGGAUCCGGCGGUCUGGUGGCCGGAUUUCCAAAAAGAAAAUAGAAUUUUUUUUUUUGUUUUUUUAAUUUAAUAAAAGUCAUUUACAAAUGCAAAUUUUACCAAACGGUAUUUUGGCCAAAGUUGCAUUUCAAAGUAAAUUUUACCAAACGAUAUUUGCAUUUCGGAAAACCCCAUUCACCCAAAGGUAUUUGCAUUUUGGCAAAUGCAUUCCCCAAAAGCCGAACCAAACGGGCCCUAUAUAUUUAUUUGCUGAUGUUCGUUCAUGCAUCGUUAUCCUCUUAUUCAGCCAUCUGAAGAUACUUUCUGCCAAACCGCAAUUGAGAAGAGAUUUGGUUCUCACGGCUUGUGCAGAUCCACAAAACCACAUCUGCAAAGUUUCAUAUGUUUCGUGACACUCCGACAAUUCUCAAGGCGUUUAAGGGUUAAAAAAGAAGCGCUGAUUUAUAGGAAAUACCCACCUCAAUAGACAUUUAUUCAUCACUACAAAACUGGGAGAAGUGAAUAUACAACCCAUGGCAGCUUAGCUUACACUAGAACAAAUGACGAGCCGUUUUCUCAAGAACCGUGUGAACUUCCACGUGUUAACUAUAGGAGCUUGCGCUGUGUACACAAGCAGUGCAAACAAACCCAGUGGCUCUCUGCGAAAGCGUUCUUAUUUACUCCUCUGUUAGUCAUGAGAAAGAGGAAAGCAACUUUCCGUUGGACUUGCAUGGUUUUCAAUGGUCGAAUGGAAGAGAUGGUUUCUUGCUGUUAACUCUCUUCUUUCUCCACAGAAGCUUCCUCCACAGACUUCCAAUUCCCCGUUUUUUCACUGGCGUGAUGGCGAAAGAACCAACUGCUUCGUGGUCGUCUGUCAUUUUAGUUCCAUUCGAACUGAGAAGCUUUUCUGAAGGCUCCUUCAAUCCACCCGGUAGGAUAGAACAAUAGUUGUUCUCUCCUUUCAUGUCAGAGGAUUCUAGGUUCGUAACAUCGGCAUUAUCCUCUGCAAGCAUUUUGUCCAACAGAGAAGUUCGACGGGCCAUACUCUUGUUCUUGGGUGACUCUUGAAUAAUUGUCAUGGUGCCAUUGGUGGCAACGCUGGAGUUUGCAUCUGUUGGAGUAGGGAUGAUCUUAUCAAAAAGAGCAGCAUCUUUUGCUGGAGCCAAAGCUUUCAACUGCUUGCCCAAGUUCAAAAUGGUUUCUUGGCACUCUGCUAAUCUUUCAGAAGCAGCUGCGAUCUCCCAGUUCUGCCACAAAUACUCUUGCAUCAGUUAACAAAGGAUCUGAGUUUCUUGUCCCAAAGAAAAUGUUCCUCGCCUCAAUUACUCUGAACUAACAGCUUUUAAAAGAAUACAAGAUCAUUUAAUGCUGCUCCAGAAUAAAGGGCCCCUAACUCUAUGACAAUUCAUGUUCAUAUCUAGAUCACAGGUUCGACUCCCUCUGGAUAACAUUCUACACUUUUAUUACUUAGGAACGAAGUUCCAGACCAUGAGAAUAGACAUUGAAAAGUGAAGUCUAUUCUCAACAACAUUUUGCAAAAGAGGGAAUGUAAUGAGCCUUCUUAAUGCCAUUUUUAUUCCAAAUCACUUCAUUAAUGUGCAAUGUAAUGAUUCAAAGAUUGCGUGAUUAAAAGGAAAAAGAAGAAAAAAUGUGUAUCCCUGAAAAAAUGCAUGGGACGAUUAGGUAAUGAUGGUGUACUUCUUAUGAGACAGGAUGAAGAGAAACUAUCCAGCCAUCGAAAAGUUCCUCUUAAGCGACUGCUUCACAUCCAGACAAAAGGAUUCGGCAAUGGUAUCUACUUUCAGGAUUUGAGAAAGCAAACAUUGACGGUGACUUACAGUUCGUAGCUGCUUUCCUUCCUGAAUGACAUCAUUUUUCAGACUCUCAUCCUUCUUCAUACUGGAAAUGACAUGGACAAGUCCGUGAGAUUCAGAAAUACAAGUAAUUAGGAAUGUCCAUUACAUACUAUAUUCAAGCAAGGAUAUGAUCAUCGGGGCAAGAAAUCAUAAUUACCUUUCCAGCUGCAAUUGCAAGUCAAGACAUGUGGCCUCCAGUUCAUCACAGCAGCUGCUUUUGUUCUCCAGUUCCACUUCUAGUGGAGAGAACUGCUGAUGAGCCUCAUUUACUUCAACUUUGGCCAUGGCAAGCUGUCUAUCGAGAUCUUCAUAACUCAACUUGUGAUUUACAAUCUGGUCCUCAACCAAACCCUUUGAUUCUUUUAAGCUGUUCCCUUCCAUAUGCACGCUCUCAAUAGUUUCUUUGGAUGCUUCAAGUUGAUUUAUCAAAGAUUUAUUUUCACCAAUAGCAGACUGAAGCUGACCUUCCAAUCCUUCCUUUGCAGAGUCUCUGUUUUCCAGGUUUUCCUCCAAUUUUGUUUCUUCUUCUUUCUGAUCAGAUUGGAGUUCUCCCAGCUGAGCCAUAUUGUUACCACCACUUGCAAAUUUACUAGAGAUACAAAGUUGUUUGAUGGGAUUAUGCAAUUUAUCGGCAUCAGAUAGCUGAUGUAUAAUUCCUGCUUCUACUUCACCUUCACUUCGUGAUUCAUCCCAAUCUAUAUUUUGCAUAAUCUCUUCCCUCAUGCUUGAAACAUCUUGAAGGGAAAAACAAUGGUUCAGAACCCAUUCCAAAGAUGAAGCUAAUUCUUUAAAAAAAUUAGAGAGAUCAGCUUUUUCAUUCAAAAGAUCAUAACAUGUGCGGAGAAAGUGCUCUAAGACAUCAGCAAGUUCAGAAGUUUUCCAUUGAAAAACACGAACCAUGUAGCCUGUGGGUGUUUCUGAACUCUUAUUAGAAGAAAUAUUCCUUUCUUUCUUCAAAGAAAUAUCUGGAUCCUCGUAGUUUUGAUGAGGAAGACUAAUACUCUCCAUAAGCUCAAUUAUUUUAGACAUUGACUUGCUCAAAUCUGGCUUUACCCUCUGAUUGCUCUUUUCCAUUGACAACAAAUCAGGGUGAACAAUUUUAUGAGAUAACCCCAACCUCGAAGAACUAAUAGGAGGCUUAGAUAAGUUAUUCUCAUUGCUACUUGCCCUUUCCUUUGUAUCUCCAAACUUUCUGGGGUUUUGACGGUGCACAUGUGCCAAAGCAAUUCUAACAUGCUCAAGUAUUUCAUCCAGGUGUCUUCCAGUGGAAUGAUGUUGCUCCAGAAUCACUUUCAAUAUCUUUUGAAGCCAUUCAGGGAUGUCAACGAGGAUUGUACCAUAGGCAUUGGCUUCCUGGUCUACCGGACAGAAGCCAGAUUUACCAUUUGUCUCUGGGGAGUGAGCAAGUGCACUAGCUUGCUGAGAAAGCGUGUCAUAAUUUUUUGAUGUAUCAUCUGCAGAGACGAUAGCUAACUUUUCCAUUUCGACAAAGUCGUCCAUUAAGCUGAUGUCAGAAGCUCCAAUUGUUUUGGAAGAUAAUGACCGCCUCUGUUUCUCAUUACGGAAAUUCUCCAACUCUGAAAUUAGAGCUGUUGCCCACGAUUCAGCACAACUUACUUUAUCAUCACUGCCAAUAUCAGAUACUGAUGCCAGAGAUGGUUCAUGUGACAAAUGAAUGGUCCUUGUCACCUCCACACCCUUCUGACCUUGUAGCGGUCCUUCAACCUGUGAAUCAAUCUGCGAUAAUUUGGAGCCCGUGUGAGCAUUCAGGACCCUAGAGAUAUGGAGUUCCCUUUCUUUCUUACUUAGAGCUUCUUUGAGAGCUUUGCUCUCUUCCUCCAUGACAAUUAACUGCUCUGUGAGAAUGCUGAUUCUCGUACUAGGUGUCUCAGGAUAAUUUUCAACGGCGAAGUCAGACAUGGAACCUAUUUGCCCACUAUGUAUUUUCCUCAUCUGGGCUGAAUCCCUUCCAAGCAUGUCAACUUCAUUUUUCAUUUUAGCUACGGCUGCCGGUCCCGGUAACCUUUUUCGAACUAAUAGACGUAACCUCUGACAUUCUGAUUCUAACUUUGCGAUUUUCUUCACACUCUCUAGGUGUUGCUUGUGAGACACAUCAGCUGUCCUACGGUUGAACUCUCUCUCCUCAUUCCGAAUCUCAAGCUCCUUCUCAAGAACACGGACCUCAUAUUUGAGAGAAGCAUUAUCUUUCUCAGUGGAUUCAAGUCUAGCCAUUAGGCUACCAAUAUCUGCCUCAGCCCGCUUUCGCUGUUUAUUUAAGUCUUCAACCAAUUUUUCCUUGGAUGCUAGAGAUUUACUGAGAUGAGUAUUCUCAAUGCCCAUCUUGGCAAGCCUUUUAUUUGUUUCUUCUAAUUUCCCCUCCAAAACUACUUGGGACUUUUCAAACUCCUUUGACGUCUUCAUAACAGUAUCGUGAAUUCUUUUCUCCUGCUCUUCUCUGACAAAAUGCAGUUGCUGCAUACAUUCUUUCAGAGCUGCAUCAAGAUGUGUGAGUCUCUCUUCAGCAGCUAGUCUCUCCUUCAACGAUUCCUCUAGGCUAUUUUUUAGAGAAACCACUUCAGUUUCCAUUUGCUCCCAUCCUAUUCAGAUAAUGAAUUUAACAAUGAGUAGAUUGUAGGUGGAGAGUUAAAAAUGAACAGAAGGAAUAGAAAUAUCCAAGCAGAUAUUCUGUCAUAUAAAAUAGUUGAGAAGGGAAAGGAACUACCUGCAAUAGCUUCUUGGGCCAUCUUUUCAUGUUUCUUUACAAGCUCGUCUUUGGUAUUACAUUCGGAAAGAACAUAAGAAAGCUUAUCAGUCAAAUGUUUCAAUUCUUUCUCCAACUCUGCUUUAUCAGUUGAAGCUGCCUCUACCUGUCAGGUGAAAUUAAUUUUUACGCAUCGAUCAAAGAUAUAUAAUUUACACACAUCUAGCAUAUGCACCCACAAUUGUACCACAGACCUAUACAUGUGUGUGUGUGUGUGAGAGAGAGAGAGAGAGAGAGAGAGAGAGAGAGAGAGAGAGAGGAGGAGCAGGGGGAGCAGCUACUAAGUUUAAGAUUACUGUCUGAGGGCUUCAACAAUUCACAGAGAUCACACUACAAGAAGUUAAUUGUCUAUCUCUGUGUGAAAUUCACUUUCAGAUGCAUGCUAUAUAGCUAUAAGUUUGAUUAUACGCAUCCAUUUUAUUGUUGAGUUAUAUCUGGAAAGUGAUUUCCAGCAUGGUACACACCUAUAUGAAAGAGAUGCUGUAUGUUCUCCUAAGGUUAUAACAUUUUUCCAUUGAAGGAAGACCUUGCACAAUAGAUUAACAGAUCGUACAUGCAAUUUCCUCAAGAUGCGGCUCCUGAAGAAGAACACAACUUUCUGGUCUGUCCUGUACAAGUUCAUUGUCAUUCAUAAACCAAUUGCUUACCCUUUUCCCUUUCAUUUAGAAGCCGGACUUGAAAGUUUAGAGUAAAGCAGCGGGUAAGGAGGUCUUUGUUUAGUGGACAACCAAGCUGUAGUCUUACAAGAGAUGCAGGUCAUUCACUUGAUUAAAUGAUGCACACUAGAAAGCAGUUAAACUUGUAAAUAACCUUAAUGGCGAUAUUAUCAAGCAUUGCCACCCCUUAUCUCAUUAAAAAAUAAGAAUCUGACAACUCAGAUGCAUGUGAUACAGAAUUCUGUAUGCAAACAAACCAAAAAAAUGACAAUGUACCCAGACUUCUAUUUUGUGUAGUUUGGCCAACUGUUUUUUAUUGUAAGUUUCUCACAUCGCGAGGGGCAAGUUACAAAAGAUGGUCUUGACAGUUGCCUCCACUCUGCUUUAAGUACCCAUUAGACAUGAAUACCCCAUCCCUGCCUCCUUAGGAUUGCACCAAGCAAACUUCCGUUUGAAAAAAUGGUCUAUUGCUCAUUAUGUGACUAGCCAUAGGGGGGUGCAAAUAACAUCAUCAGGAAAUUAUAACAAUUACCUGCUGCUCCUCGUUUGCCUUUAGGGGAAGCUCAACUUUAUCAUUUGCAAUGGUCUUCUCUGCAGAUUUCUUUUUCCAAAGCCAUGCUUUAUGAUCCAUCACUUCACAAAAAUGUAUGUCGGAAAGCACAUCAAACAAGACAAGUUACGUGUAAAGGCAAGUGGAAAAAGAAGAAAUUUUUUUGCAUGAAGUCAGAAGCUAUAAGUCAAUUCUAAUCCAGGAAAUACAGCUGAAUCAGACAUAAAGUCUCUAGCUUGUUGUGUGCAACCAUCGACAAUUCACAGCUUCACAUGAAAGUAUAUCAGGGAUCUGUCAAACGAAAUACUUAAAGCGACCACAUAAAAUUAUGCGUCGUAAACAAUGCAUUCCCUAAAAAGAAGAUAGAGAAAAGGCACAGAUGAAUUGCUAAAUACUAAAAUCGCUUCAGAUAAAGUUCAGAACAAUAGGAAAAAAAAGGCUUUUGCAUUUGUGCACUAUAGAUUCUUAUGCAUCAGUUCAUCCUUGAUUGAACAUUAUGGGGCAUUUUAAUAUGUAAAAUACCCUUGUUAUCAAUUGUCAUCAACUGUUAAUUUCAGCGUCUGCCUGCACAUAGGAAUUAAUCAUACAGUAUCGCAUUGGGACACCAUCAUAUCCCACUCUCAAGCAUGUACCUACCGAAGCAAGGGUUGUGAUGGUAAAUCGGUAAAAAAGGCAUCAUAAUGAAACUUUGUACUACAUCAAAGGAGAAAGAAAAAAAAAACUACUUAAAUUGGAAAUGGACCCCCGACAGAUUACAGCAGAACCUCCUUCCCCAUCAGAGAAUUCACGUCGGGUACCAAGCCAGAGCAUCUCGAGUUUUCAUAAUCACGGAACUCCUUAACUCAACAGCAAAGACAUUCCAGCCUAAAAGCUUACCUUGCCAUUGAGGAAGCUAACAAUCGAUGCGGGAUAGAUUAAUGCUCCCUCUCACAUGCAAAAACAAAACGGACGGGAAAUAGAACAGGGAGCCGAAAAUGCAGAAUAAGAUGAGGGAGAACCACAUGUAGAAUUUAACAUUAAUUUGAGCAUGAAGAAGCUGAAAUUUGAAGCCCCACUACACGCACAUUAUGUGUAUCAGUCAAGCCGGGAUUAACCGAUUUGCAGCAAUAAAAGUCUCUGAAUCAGGCACACCGCUGAAUUUUAACACCAGCCUCCGGCCAAACCGUAUGAAUCAAACAUCGAGAAGCAGAACCGAGCGAAGGACGAGUUCCGCCAGAGCUCCAACUUCAAUAGAAAAAUCCCAGCGCCGUGACGAACAAGGUUGACUUUAGACAGCGCCGUAACGGUCGCAUGCAACGACAACCUCAAUCCUAAACGCGACUUCCAAAACCAAAAAAAAAAAAAAAAAGAGAGAACAAGAAAAAGGAAAAAACACAGACAUCGGUCAUCGUCCCGACCGCACCGCGUCGCGAAGCACGGCCUCCGGGCAGCCAAUGCGAGUCCUCUCGCGACGCUCCAAACACUACACAUGACACCGGAGACCGUGCGAGGUCAACGCGAGCAUCUAGAGAGGGAGCUGCGGGAACUUACGGGAUCGAUCAGGAGGCGGCGGAGGCGGCGGCGGCGGCGGUAGGAGGAGCGGGAAGCAUGGAGCUCGGGGGAAGCGAGGAGAAGAAGAAGAGAAGAAGAAGAAGAAGAAGAAGAGAUCGCGAUCCGGAGAAGGAGGAGAAGCCCGGUUCCGAAUUUAAUAACACGUCGCCGUAGGGAGCGGGUGGCGCGAUCUCACCGACAAUCACCGCGAGCGGUUGCAGACAAUCGACUCCACGUCGCCGCCGAGGAGUAGCUGUGGAGUAAGAACUCAACUAAAGCGAAAACCAGAAACUCCGAAAGAGAGAGAGAGAGAGAGAGAGAGAGAGAGAGAGAGGAGGUGACGUGGAGCUGACUGAACUGCAACUAGAGAGAGAGAGGGAAAGUGAGAGACUGAGAGUGAGGGUGAUGGGAGGAUCACAGGAGACGCGAGUACGGCCUCUUUUUGGGACAAUCUGGACAGCGUUCGGGGACCACCGGCGGUCCCGACGGGGCCGCGGUUCCAGCUUUUAGGGUCGAACUGUCCACGUACGGACCGACCAGGCGACGGUGGCCUCUCCGUUCGAGAUUACUGUCUGUGCUCGGCCCGGUUGGCCGGAUUCGAUGUGGGGUCCACAUGUGAAUUUUUCUACGCUUACGAGAAAGUGUCGCCAUUUGCCCCUGGUCCGUAGACACGUGUUUGCUUAGAAGAGUUUCUUAGACUUCGAGAGGUUUAUGAUUAGGAUUGAUAUUGACAUAUUGAUCCAAAAGAAAAAUCUUUGACAAUUAAGAAUGUUAAUGUAAUUUCAAUUAAUUCAUAUUAAAUUUGAUUAAUACCACGAAUGAAUUGUAAAAUUCUAAGUUGGUAUCAUAUGAUAAUAAAAUCACAAAUAUAUUAUAAUUUCAAUUAUACACAGUUGAAAUUUUGAUGAUCAAAAAAUUAAUUUAAAAUAAAUUUAUUACAAAUUAAUCACUUUGUGGUUUUUUGUUAGUAUUAACUGUUAUGGUCAAUGGGCAAUUUGUCUUUGGUAACAACAAAAUAUGAUUAUGGAACUAAAAACAAAUGGCGCGUGGGAUUAACGGUUGUGCAUGCGCGUGCGGGGUGGUCCUUGCGCUGAAGUGGAGUAGUCAAUUCCAACUUGUAAGGGGGAGGUGAGGAGUUCAAAUCCCCACCUUCUCAGGGGGGGAUGAGGGUAGGGAUGCGUAAGUUUCGAGAGUGGGUUGCGACUCCCACGCCCUGCAUGAGGCAGGACACAAGUCUGCGAGUGAGUGUAGAGUAGGAAUAGAGUAGGACUGAAAAAAAAAAAACAAAAAAAAAAAAUGGAAACUUUGUUAAAGUUCUGUUGGGCCUUCUUGUGUUGUUGGUUGGUUGUCUCUCUCUCUCUCUCGAUCGCUAUCGUUCGCUUUUGCUUUGAUCCAACGGACCGGAAGAGCGCGGGCACUUGUCGACGGACCAUGACCUUUCACGGGAGAAAAGGACGGCGACGUUUCGGAGUAGUGUCUGAGCUUGACUGUUGAUGAAAUUAAGCUAUCAUUUUGAUACGAAAAUACAAAAUUUAAGUAGUGGGGCAAAAAAAAAAUUAAAUUUCCGACGGAUGAAUAACGUGCACGUUCGAUGGUUAGUAACCUUACAGUCAACUUAUAUUUAUCUAACAAGAAAUACACGAAAUUGCGCCUUGUAGUAGUGAAAAUAAUAGAAGGUCUUUGGACUGUUUUGGUCACACUAUGAAGGAUAGUCAACUUAUAUUUAUCUAACAAGAAAUACACGAAAUUGCGCCUUGUAGUAGUGAAAAUAAUAGAAGGUCUUUGGUCUGUUUUGAUCACACUCACGAAGGAAAAGACCUUAUGAAAUUGACGAAUUCAAAAUGCGAAUUGCACUUGCAUGGAUAGGUCAAAGCAUUUUUGCUGAAAGAGUAGAUGGUAAUAUAUUUGUAAAGCUUAAUUUAAUCGAACUAUGCUAAUUAAUCUUACAAGACUACAAGUAGACAUUGAAUGGAAUCGAUGAUUGACAUGACAAUAUAUUUCCUGAUAGCUAGAUACAAAUGGAAAAUGAUACGCUUGCGAAUCAUUGAUCUAUGCAUGCUUUCAAUUAUGUGAUGUCUAUAGUCAUUGCAUUUAGGUGGCAUUUGAUGAAGAAUCAAAUUUUGAUUGGUGAGAAACAGAUUGACAAUAAUCAAAUUUUCGCCGAAUGAUGCUGACCUAUGCCGUAAUGAAAAGAGAAUUUCUCAUGAAUCGUAUAUAGACAAGUAGAUUCGUUUAGAUGGAUAGAGGGGGAAGAAAAAAAAUACAAAUAUGUAUAAUGAAGUGUAAAUUCGUCAGUAACUAAAUACUUGUUUUUUUUUUUAGUAACAUGUCACAUUGAUUAAAGGGAGCACUAUGAACUAUAGUUAGUAUAGGGUCCAUCACAAUUUAAGUGCAAUCAAUGGUAGGAUUAGAUCGACCUAUCUAAGUGAAGUCUAAAUCUAUUUAUUUAAGAUAGGAUAAAAAUAAGAUAUCCCAGGAAUCUCAAUUUCAAUUACUAGGGCCGUGAAUGCUCAACUGAGAACACCCCUUUUUGUUCCUCAUAUAUUAAAAUUCAUCUAAAGAAAUUACUAUAUUAAAUAACUUAUUGACAUAUAAAUGCAUAAGUAAAUUAUAUAUAAAAUUUAUCAGAUAACUCAAUAUAUUAACAUAAUAGACACUUGUAGAUAUUGUUAAUGAGUACUCAUUUAUUAACAAUACUUGAUUUGGAAUAAUGCAAUUUCCAAGCAUUAAAUGUGCUUGUCAGGGCAUUCAAAACUGCAAAAUUCCCUUAAUUGGUUGCAAGGUACUCGUUAACAAAAUAAUCUUUGAAAAGGUACCUUCAAACUCGUUAGCAUGAGCCGAUGAAUAAUUACUAAAAAUAAUAAUAGCUCCAAUUCCACCUCUAUUUUUUUCUUUGACACUUUAACUAAACGAGGGAUGCUCACAACUCAUGAUUCUUCUUGUAUUUCAUCCGCUCAUCCUAUCAUUGAGUCCAGCUCAAAAGUUUCCAAUUAGUGACGCCACUUUUAUCAUAAUUAAAUAAAAAGCAUACCCUGAAUUGUUUGUAGUACGGUCCACACUCGACAUUGUGGUCACUGCUAAUUCUUGACCAAUUUGUCCCUAAGAGAAUCAAUAAUUCAACGGAUAGACUGUCAGUGCCAUUCACUUCACGUCACGUGUCGUCGUUCUCUAGUGCCUACCCACUUUGUACCUGUGAAUUAAGAAGACCAAAAAAAACUCGAAAAAGACAAUACCCACUAGAAACUACUAUCGAUUCAUCAAAUAUAAUAAAAAAAAGGCGGCAUGAUCAAAGAAUGGACGCUGAAUCCUUAUUUUUAUUUUUUAAUAUUUUCAAUUUCGAACAUUCUGUUGUAAAGCAUCGCUGCUCAUCGUUCCAUACAAUGUUCAAUUAUUUAUAAAGCUGGGAUGGCUGUCAACCACCCCGAAUUGCAAAAAGAGGACCACCAUUCAACUAAAGAUCUCCCAUAAAUUAGCCUCCUCCUCAUCAUUCCCUUCUCUCUGUUUUAUUCAGUCUGUUGUUUACGAUAUGUCGAUUUGAAUAGAUAGGUCGGUCCAAAAUGGGAGUUAGGAAUGUGCAAGCUUUACUUAUAUUAAUAAUUCGCUGUGGUAAGGUGGCGCACUCGUGAAGCAAUCCCCACACCCCAACUACCGCCCCCGGAAUUAAAUGGAGAACGUGAAAGGUGUCGAGAUGGACGCGAUGAUCGUACACCAAUCAUGAUGUUCGGCGGUCUCUUGUCUGCUUUAAUUCAGUGCGACUUUUGGGUCAGUGACAGCCUCGCUUUAACCUCGCCUUAGUUGAUUGAGAUAGCCUCGUUGCGUCGCUCAAUUAAUAAGGGCUUUUUGUCAAAUGACUGAUGAUGCCACUAAAAAUUUCAAAUCAGUAUCCUCACGACCCAUUCGUCGACAACUAUUUUUCAUUUUACCCAAAAAAAAAAAAAAGUGUCUCGUAUAUAUGAAAAUUAAUUUUUGUCUUGUGAAAAAAACUCAAGUUGGUAUUCCUAACCAAUAUUUGCCCCCUUUAUCCCAUUAAAAGGCAAAUAUGUUAACAUAGGUUGAUUUUCCAUAUUGAAUUCGCCAUUCUUUGCAUUAGAUUUUAUGUGUGCAUUUUAAUGAGAUAUUGAACUUAAAUGCUGAUGGGGUAGAUUUGGGUCGGGAGUACGGAAUUUUUUGCGAGAUGAUAUUAAUAUGUCAAGGGCUAUCAAUUGUCAAAUUGAUUUUCAGAUGAAAAUUAAUUUGGAGUAGUGAUAUAAUAAGGAUAUUGGUUUUGAGAUUUUUUUUUUUCAAGUUAUUUUAAAUGAAUUUUAAAUGUGGAAAAUAUAUUCCCCGAGGAGUUAUUGCUAAUGAGUGCGUUUGACGUGCAGGGCGAUACCAUAAUGGCUAUGCGGGUCAUUGUCACACAACUCAUUUGAUGUGGCCUGACCUGAACAAGCCAACAUAAUCCUAGUAAUUACUUAAAAUUGACGCUUUUUUCUUUUCCUUUUUCUUCUAAAUGGUAAGAUAGAGUUUGGAUUAGUUUUCGUGAAUCUCGAUCAGUCCUUCUCCUCAAGACAUUUUAAGGGUGCCCUCCUUCACAUUGACUUGGUGUUUUCGAGAAUUUACUUCUCAAGUGCUCCCAACAACACCACCAAAAAAGUUAAGCUCAUACCUAAAUUUUGUAAAAACGAUCAUGUUAAUGAGUGCUCGGCAUACUUAAUUUGGGAUAAUUUGAUUUUCAAAGUAUCGAUUUCCAAAAAAAUUGUGGCUUAACAAAUGUCCUUGAGGUGCCCCUAAUAAAUUCCUUUUAAACAAUGCAUGCUGAACAAAAUGUUGAUUGACCGACCAAAUAAAAAAAAAAAAGAACAAAAUGUUGAUUGGACAUAUUCGAGACGAGAAUCGGAGUCCAGACCUCCGACCAGAAUAAACCAGAAGCAAUCAAUUGCACAUUCGAGGCGAUUUCACGACGCGAUAGACAAAGAAAGAAAGGGGGUUAGUUGCAAAAAUUGACAGCAUAAGGGCCAGGUUGUAAUUGACGCUAAGCAUCGUGAUCUAAUUGAAAAAAAGGUAAAAAAAAGUAAGAGAUAUGCAUAGAAUUGGGCUCGCUCCUCGGCCCAUUAUUAUCUUUUCAAGAAGAACAAAUUGGUCUCCGAACGGGAAAAGCCCACGGCCCAUCUGGCAUCCGUCUCCAUCUUCCUCGCUGGGCGAUCCUCUCUCCGGUUCGAACCGCCGCGACUCUCUGGUGUUCGAGCGCCGUCUCCCGGCGGCAAAUCUCGACCUCGCCCGAUCAUCGCCGGCGGCAUUGAUCGUCUUCUCUCCGCAGCGAUGGUGCAGAAGCAGCACCACAAGUCCAACGCCAAGAAACAGCCUCACGUAAGCGAUUUCCUUCGCUACUUAUGGUUGCAAUUUCCAUCUAUUUGGGCACUCGUGACUAUUGCUUGCUCUUCGAUGAGGCGGCGUGUUUUGUCUCCAAAGAAGAAAUUCGAAAUUUUAAUUGCUUCUAUGAUCUGUUUGUUGCGGCGAGGCCUCUGAAUUGAGCUUUGGUGGACGUGCUUUUGGCUAAGUUCCUGGUUGAAGUGUUCGUCGGUGUUUGUUCUCGGAAUCUGAGUGGACGUGAAUGCGGUAUGCGUUGAUGAACAGGUUAAAAAGCAGGGGAAGCAAGCGGAUAACACGCAGUUCCGAGCUCAGCUUGAUGCUCUGGGCCUGAAAAUUGUCCAGGUGACUGCAGAUGGUAAUUGCUUUUUCAGGUCUGUGUUCCUUGUUAGAAAAAGAUCACCGUAUUGUUCAUGAUUUUGUUGAAUGUUUCCAGGGUUUGAUUUGUUUUGUUAGAUAACAGUAUUCCUCUCUGUUUUGGAAGAUUUAUGGUACGCUCAUUGCAUUACCACUCUGUCGUCAGGACACAACACACAGUGCAUUUUAUGGUACACUGGUUCUGGAACACUAUCAUCGACGUACUAGAAAUUCCUCAGCUGAAAAAAUUAUUGCAAUUCGUAUACUGUAUCAUUCUGCUUGAGACACUGUAUCUAAAAAUAUAUAUUGAAGAAGAGCUCUAUUUGUCAGGGAAUGUAGCUCUUUUAACUUAGUCUCGAGGAUAUUAGAUUGACUCUUCCGUUAUCCAACUAAGUAACUUUGUAAAUUUCUAUCACUAUUGUAUUGCUAUUGUACAACGCCUAGAGAAACUAACCAUGUGCCUCAUUCCUGUUUUCAUUCCACAUAUUUGAAUUAUCCAUCCUCCAGGUAAUCUUACAGCCUUGUGUGGAGCUUUUGUUUAUAGAAACACCUUUGCUAUGGUUGGAAUUUUCAUAGUUGUCCACUCUUGUUAAUCAGGGCCCUUGCAGAUCAGUUGGAAGGCAAUGAAGAAGAACAUGGGAAGUACCGUAGUAUGGUUGUUCAGUACAUAUUGGUAUGUGGAGUGCAGAUUUCUCUUUUUCAAACUGUAGGAAUUAUGUUUUGGGGGGGGGGGGUUUACAUGGUGAUGUAGUCCUCAGUGAUCCGAAUCUAAACUUUAUUUGGUGCAUUUUGUUCUUGAACUUUUCUGUAAGUAUUGAUGGAUCUCACACUUACAUAGACACUGAAAUAGCAUGCCUUUGGAAGAAAAAACCAAGUUAAAAUGGGUAUUAUACAUUGAAGCAUACAUUUCUGCUGCCACUGGUUAUUCCUGGUGAUAUUCAGCUCACAGUCACAGUUGCAUAGAGCUAUAACAACACAAGGAUCACCCGAGCAAUUUGACAUUCUUAUUUUACUAGAGAGGAAAACCUUCUGAGUGUUAACCGUGAUUUGGAUGGUGUAUCUUGGCCUAAACUGACAGGUGCAGGAGGAAGCUGGACUUUAUAGUUACCCGCAUUGUUCUAGCCUACAGGAAUGUGCAGUUGCUACUUUAGGGUGCCAUUAUUAUGCAAACCGACAUAUUUUUGGAGGAGAUAUUGAGAAAAUAAAAAUUUAGAGAAUUGAUACUAAAGUAAAAUAAGUCAACUUUUUACCAUGCAUGAUAAAACUUUAAUGUUUUGCAAUGGCACAAAUUGAUAGUCUUGCUUGUUUCAAGUUUCAACAGAAUCCUUUAUUUUCAUUUGUUUUUUCUCAUAGUGAUGUGUUUAAGGAAAUAAAAUCCUCAUCUGAAGAAUGGACCUGAUAUAUGCAUCUAAGAUGGGAAUUGUUAAUGACAGAAAAAUCGUGAAAUGUUUGAACCAUUUAUUGAGGAUGAUGCGCCAUUUGAGGAGUAUUGCAAAACCAUGGACAAUGAUGGCACAUGGGCUGGUCAUAUGGAAUUGCAAGCAGCUUCUCUUGUUACACGGAGUAACAUUUGCAUUCAUCGGGUAAGACUGACAAUGAAGUCAUCAACCAUCACCUAUGUGAAGUUUUGUUGGUUACAGUCUUUUCAUUCCUUCGGGAGAAACNNNNNNNNNNNNNNNNNNNNNNNNNNNNNNNNNNNNNNNNNNNNNNNNNNNNNNNNNNNNNNNNNNNNNNNNNNNNNNNNNNNNNNNNNNNNNNNNNNNNAGAAUUCGAUGACCAUUGAAGAACCCAUGAUUAUUGGUUUCCAGAUUCAUUCUCCACUUAAUCAUAUAACGGCUUCUUCCACAAUAUGGCCCUCCUUUAACUGAGAAUUUAUUCCCCCAUCAUUGUUUAGAUCAAAAGACCACUUAGGAUGUUGUUCUCAUAAUGGUUAUAGCUUGUUCUUUUCUGUCUGGUUAUAAUUUGUUACUCUUUAGACUGAAAAAUUGACUCAUCCGAAGCGCAAUGAUAUCCGGCAUGUCUCGCAAUGUCUAUUGUGGCGAAAGCAUGUGGAAGGACCAUUGAUAGUGAUGUGCAAAAGAUUUUUUCGGAGAUAUAUUGCACCUUUUAGCACGAGGAAAUCCGAUGGGUGCAUAUAAUCCUAAUUCAAAGAAGACUUAAUAUAUUGAACUUGUUACAAAAUUGCUGGCUUUUUGAGUGUUCUAUAUGUCCUUGAUGAAUCUACAUAGCACUAAUUAGUUUUGAUACAUGCUGUGCAUGCAAAUAUCUGUUUGUUGACGCCAAAUGGAACAAUUUAUCACACUCCUUACUUGAUGCAGAACAUGUCACCUCGGUGGUACAUACGCAAUUUUGAUCAGCCUGGUGCUCGUAUGAUCCAUUUGUGAGUUUUCUGAAUAUAGAGACUGAUGCUUUUUUUGCUAAGCAAGUGCUCAAAUACUGGGAUGAGAUUUGGCUCUGUUUGUAUACACUUAAAUAAAUGACCUUUUCUUACGUUUUACUUUCCCUCAAAAGAUUUGAAAAUAAAACAAUGUUUUUAUUUUUUAAGUGAUUAUGAAAAGAUUAUAUAUUUCUCCUGGUCAAGUUUGUUUAUUUUUAAAAGGUUUUAGGUGUUUCGAGUUUCAUAAAAGUCAAAUUGCAAGAGCUGCAAGAUCUUUUUUUUUUUUAAAAACGAAAGCUAUAAGUACAAGUCGUCCAAACAAACCAGCUCAUUACACAAAAGAAGGUACUGCAGCUUGUUCAGGGAGACUGCUGAUUUGUGAAAUUAUUUUAGCAUGCAAGGACAACAUCUCAUAAGUUGCAGAUCCGAGUGUAGUUGCGGUGUUGUUAGAUUUAACGAUGGAAGUUCUUUUGCUAGUUUGGGAGACGUUUUGGUGUGGUUGGAGAGGGAUAAAUUACUGGCUAAGCAUAUGUGGUAGGAGACCAAAAUGUCACUAUAGCUUUUGUUUCUUCGAUAAAUUUUUUUAUUGAAAUUCCCAUUCAUAAUCCUUCAAUGAAUGGCAUCCCUUAAUAUUCUAAGUUAAGAUGGAUUGGAUCUGUCUAGGUAGUAGCCAUCGUGACCUUGGAUUGUCAUGAGGAUCACAAAAUUUAGUGGAUAUAUGAUAUUCCAUACUUUACUAUCUUCGAUAGGUGUCGUCAUGUGAAACAAGUAAGCAUAAAAAAUGUGCGUUGUGCCAUUAUUGUUUUUGUGGAUAGGGAAAAUCUUAUGUUCUUUUUGUACUGAUGGUGUUUCAUUAUUUGAACUUAUAUAUUUUGCUUCGCUUUAUCAGAUCUUAUCAUGAUGAGGAACAUUACAACAGGAUGAGGUUGAAGGAAGACACUGGAGAUGGGCCAGCUAGGCCAAUUACAAUCAAGGUUGCUACUGGAAUUUAAUUCUAAUUUACUUAGUUAGUAGGGAAGUUGGACAAAUUGUGAAUUUAAGUAUGUGAUUUGAUAAUUUCUUUUGCUGAAAGGUCGAUUCUAGUCUCUCAUCAUCAUCUCGCCAAGCAAAAGCUGGGUCAAAGAAGUCUAAAGCAGGAGCUGGUAAGGAUAUUACUGAUGCUGUAUCCAUCAAGCUAGUCAUGGCUGGAAGUGGUUGUGAGAACAUUGAGAAAGUUGAGCAGGUUAUGUCCUCGCUUCUUCUGCUCGCUUGUUUGCAUUAAAUGCUUUCCUCUCAUUUGCUGGGUGUCUAGAAUUAGAAUACAAGACCUUUCUGUGGCUUCUGUGUGACAUGCGAUACUUUUACAGACAUUGCUGCAAAUGUAUGGGGAUGUUGAUGCUGCCAUAGAGUAUUUGAUAGCAGAAAAAGGUAUUGAAGAUUUUUCAGAGGAAGCUGUCCAGUCUCCCUGCAAUGCAGAUGCUUCUCAUGGUAAUGGCUGGUCAGUAUUUAUCUCUCUAGAUUUUCUUUAAUAAUUUAACUUCGCAGUUUCAGAGAUACCAUGUUAAGCUUCACGAGAAGAUUGUUUGGAGUCAUUUUGAUGCAACUGGUAGAAUUAGCGUGCUUUGUCUUGUCAACCAUAGAUUUUUGGGGUAGUCAAACAUGUUACACCCAAAACUAUUUCAUAAUUCUUUGCGGUGUUUAGGUGAUGAUGCCAGUGGAAAUUCUGAGGAACAGAGAGAGGAACCUGUGGAAGAGGCCAAUAAAGAAAAUCCACCUAGCAAUAGCGCUAAACGGACUCAUGAUGAUGGCAGUGCCCAGCAAGAAGACAAGGUUUCCACAAAAGACGACUAUGUUACCUCUUUUACCAUUUUGGUUUUAGCUCAAACGUGAGAACUGUUGGUGGUGCGCUCCUUCAUUUUUAUUUGCUUGUUUUAUCUUAUAAUGCAGAAAAUUCCAAGAAACAAGAAUUGUCCAUGUGGUUCAAAAAAGAAAUACAAGUCCUGUUGCGGGUCAGGGACAGGGAAAGUCUCUGCAAUUUCCAAGCAUUUCUCAUUCUCUCAGUGCUUUAUAUGUCAAGUUAUAGUUUAAGCUUGUCUUUUGUUGAAGUACCUUUCCUGUUUCCGUGUGAUUCGAGUUCAUAUGUAUCUUGAAAUUAUGGCUUAUGUAUCCAAAAUUGUAUUGUACUUAACUUCAAGUCUGGACUAUUUUCUCACUCCUAUGCUUUGUCGAAUAAUGGGUUCACUUUGGGAAAAUGUUCAUACAUGGGUAAUAUAAAUUUGUACUUACAAGAACAAAGACAGCACUGAAGAAUUCUCCUUUUUUAUGUGUAAACGUUGUUUUGCAGUAAUCAAGCUCUUGAAUCCAGAAAAGGUAGAAAGGAAAAGAAGCGAGGCAAGAGAGGGUCUGACACAUCUGCACUUUCUAGCGGAUCUGAUGGAGGGCCACCUGAUAUGGGGGCUCUUUGUAUCUGAUCUUUUGUUAAAGUAUGUGCGCCAUCAUCUAUUGAAUUUCAGAUAUCAGUACGCUGUCUUUCAAAUAUUUGAUUAGACACAAAUUUUUUUCUACUUCCAUUAGCAUGAAUUCAAUGCAUGCAUCUCUUUUUUGAUCUUUGGGAUAAGUGCACUUUCUAGUUUUCUACCUGUUGCCAACUUUAGAAAAAUCUAUAGGUACAAAAUUUUCAAUGGUGUUAUUUUCCUUGGAUAGUUGGAGAUUCUUUGCACACAUAACUGUUGUGCAUGCAUAUAACACCUACCCUCAUAACUGUUGUGCAUGCAUAUAACACCUACCCUGGUAGAUUUGUUGGCAUUGGCAUAGGUGAGUUUGGUGAGAAGUCCAAGGGGGAAGGAGAUAAGGAAAUUCAGUUAUUGCUGUCCCUGGGCUAAACCUUUUCGUGAAUAUAUUAGAGACAUCACAUGAAUUUGACAAGUGAUGGUUUAAUUUCUAAAUUCCCUUCCAAAGUGAUGGUUUUGUUGUAACCGUAGUUUGGGGUUCCCAUGAAGAUGUCAUUCCUUUUCCUUUUAUUUCUUUGACAAAAAAGGCACUAAGCAUUUAUGCACACUUCUUCUUGUAAUUGAUAAAAGACGGUAAGAUGCAAAAUGCACUCAGGCUCCAUCUAUAAGGAACCAAAUGCAAUCCAUCUGCAGUUGGAGAUGACACAGAUAGUACAUAUGCUAGUUUUUCCAUUCAAAUUGGUGCAGAUUUCUAAAAUUAAACAACUUUGACUGACAAUUAUCUAUGGUUAUUUUGGCAAAAAAGUAGUAUAGAUCUUUUGUUGGUUUUCAUUGGUUGAUAUAUCAUCAUAACAUCAUUUAGACGAAUUAAGUCUCCAAAGCUCCUAAGUGAUGGAUAGUGUGUAAAGACCAUGAGCACCUUCGAAGUUUUAGUAGUAGAUUUUCCAAUAAUCCCACAAUAAUCCUGAAUCUUUUUUUAUUGUUUUUGUGGAAUUGCGUUGUGUCAGAUGGGGCUUGUCCAGUUCUCAAGAAUCACAACAAUCUUGCGGCUUCGUCAUUGCAUCCAUGAGGGAGUGGGGAGAGAAUCGAAUUGUGAGCAGGAAACUGAUGCUGAAAGAAGUCUAUAACUUGAGCUUCUUCCCGGAGCAACUUAUGGGGUUACUCAUUAUUUUUUCUUGUCUUGCCUAAAUAUAAAUCUUUUCAUUCUCUAUUAGCUUGAACAUAGAGCACAUGUUAGUCUGAGGUUAUCUUCUGUUUUUAAAGGCUGGUACCUUACUAGUCUUGUAUACUACCUUG